Molecule: long non-coding RNA, 71467 nt
Filed under: Xyrichtys novacula (pearly razorfish)
Lineage: Eukaryota; Metazoa; Chordata; Actinopteri; Labriformes; Labridae
Source: RNAcentral
AUCAUUUCCUCGUGGAAAUGCAAUCAGACCGAGACGCUAAGGCAGAAGAACUACUGUGUCUACAGUGCAAAUUAAAUAAUAUGGUCUCCGUACAAACAAGUGGCUGCUGGAACAGAGUAGGUGAGUUGUGUUUAGUCUCUUUGCUAAAGAAAUGAGUCAAAGUUAAAAAGAUGUUUGGUGGCUAGUGCUAUGUCUGUGACCCUAUAUGUCCUGUUGAUGAAGUUAGGUGCUGUUCUGAGCAUUAUUUGUGACUAUAGAGUGGCGUUUUGGUUGAGCACGUGCCUCUCUGUAUUGCUAUCCUGCGGUCGUUAAUAAAGUUGGAAUAACUAGAGAAGCAAGAGGUCGGCAACAUUCAUCUCUCGACGGGGUGUCUAACUCGGUGUUACAGUGUGUUUGACCCUGACUUCAUUUCACGCCUGAAUAUCCCUUUAAUGUAACUCUGUAUGCAUCCAUUCAUUCCCUUCCACUUAUUUGAUAUUGGGUUGAGGCUGCAGUAUGUUACGCAAGGGGACCCUGACAUCCCCUUCCUAUCUACAUUUUCCAGCUUCUCUUUGGUUAUUCCACGGUCUUACCGCCCCAGAUGGACUGUCUUACCUCUCAGCAAGUUUUGGGUCUACCUUCAGGUCUCCUUCCAGUCCCAUGUCUCUGAAAAACCUCUCUGAGGAAGCAUUUGCGUAUUACUGGGCUCCAGGAUAUAUUCAAAAUAGCUGUUUUCGUACCCUUGAAUGACCAUAUCAGAACAGUGAGUCUGGUUGCAUAUGGUUCAGUUAGCUUUUUUAGCAGUAUCUAUUACAUAACUAGAUAAGAGCCUCUCACAGUAGCUUUAACAACAGGACUCUUCAACCUACUUCUGUGGCCAUUGUCUUUUUUUUUUUUAGCAACUUUUGAAGAGUGUUACUUUAAUGAGCUUUGUUUGUGUUUGUUUCUAAUAUUUCUGCUCGUUAAACAGCACCAACAAAGUGGAGAUCCAGCUUUCAAACUGGGACGAGGGUUUGCUCUACUUCUUGUUUCCAAUUAUAAAUAAUGUUGGGUUUUGAGCAAACAUGUUUCCACAUGCAUUGAGGUUUCUUUUGUCAGUUUUUGCUCUUCUCUAUCAUCCUGUCACAGUUAAAGGAUGACUCAGCUAACUGCCAGAUGUGAGGACGGCACUGUCCCUCUUUUGUUCCUCCCGAAGAAGACCUCUGCAUUCGUAGCCUCAUUAUACGUCUUAAUGACUCCACUGCAGCUAUCUCUGCGAAGGCGUGCUAAAGGUCAGAUCAGCAUCUUAAUGCGCCGUCCUCCUGCCUUCUGACCCACGUGCAAACCUCGGUCACUCAGAUCAGACAUGUUCGGUAGCCUGUAGAACAUAUCAGUCGAUCCUAAUGAAAUCACAGAUCCUUUGAUUCAACUUUGACAUUUAGUUUGAGCACCCGUUGCAAAGAUCACUACUGGCAAAUGAGCUUCUCAUCUUCAAGCUUUGUCAUGUUCCUGGUGUGAAUGCUGCAGUCGUCAUGCAGAUUUAAAGAAGUCUAGAUGGAGAGACAGAGUUUGACAGAAUUCGUAGGUCUUCUUGGACUGAAAGGGUCUCAGACUGAAAUCUUCCGGUGUUUCUUGCCUUUAAAAGUUCCCCACAGUAUCGAUAAAUUCUUAGACGCUAUAUGAAAUGAAAAUGGAAAUGAAAUGCAAAGCCACUCAAGGUUUCAGCAGGUUUUCAUCAGCUGGCAUCAGGUCAGAUGGCUGUAUUAGAUCUGCGCUCUACCAAAUGGGGUUCUGACUGGAUCAUUGCUCGCUCCCUUUGGUCUCUAAUGGAUGAAUUACAUUGCUUUCAUGACUUCCAGAUCUAUUUCUCUGAGUCUCUCUGAGAAUAAUUGGUGGAGUUCUGAACUUUCCGGGUGUUUACAUAAAAAGCUUUUGUAUUAUUUAUAAUCGGAGGCUAAAUCACACAGGCAUGCACACACACAGUUUAGUAGUUGAAUUACUCUCUGUCGGCUUGUCGCCCAGCCGGGGUUUCAGACUCAGUAAAAUAAGGAAUGGAGCUUCCUUUCCUUACCUCAGAGCCUCGCUGCCACUCCAGCACAGUAAUUACCUCGUCCUUCUUUACUGCUAAUGAGAAGGUAAAAUAUGAGCUUCUGGCAACUGCAGUCAUUUGCGACCCUGGCUCGCUCCUGGCAGGAGUGGAGAGGGAGAAGGAGAGAGACUAAUUUCUACCCAGAAGCCACCUCUGAAUGGUGCCAUCCAUCCUUAACCCACCUGUACAAGUUAUCCAGGGUUACCCCAGGUCUGUGUCUGGAUAAUGUUACACUGAGUUGGAUGAGCAGUUUGCUGGAGUGAGCACUUUCUUGGGUAAAUGAAAACAGUCAGACUCUUGAUACUUCCCGACAAACUAUAGCCUCUUAGAAAAGAUCAUAGAGUGGGUGUUCUGGGUUAGGUUUUCAUUACUGUAGUACUGUGAUAUAGAAAGUACUAGUGUUACAUCAAUCACUGCCUUUUGAACCUGUCUGCUAAGGCUUGCAGUUUGGUGUCAUGGUGUUUGGGACUGGUGAUUCGUUUUAGACACUGUACACUCUAAAAACUCUUGGGUUAUUUCUUCAACCCAAUUCCUGGGUUAUAUGUGUUGAGUUAAAUUUCUUGGUUAUUUUUCAGAUCCAUACCCAUUUCGCGGGUCAUAUGGAUUCUAUCGUAACCCAAUUUGAGCGUUUUUUAAAUGGGUUAAUAAUUAUGGGUUAUUUUUCUGAAAGUAACCCAAUGAUUGGGUCAGAACGCUGGGUUCAAUGGACUCUACGUGGUUCCUAGGCCUAAUGGCAAUUAAAGUGACCUUGUGAAAUUUGACCUUGAUUUGGGGUUGGAAUCCCUCAUGAGACACAUCUGUAAGGAGCAAACUACAUCCACCAGUUUGGGUCCUUAGGUAAGACCCUUAACGCUAUGGCCUACAACCAGAUAGAUAAAAGUACAUGGGAAAAUAUGGUACAGGUUGUAAAAGCUAAGCUCCCCAAAUGCAUCUAUCAAUCUAUCCCAAGAUCAUGAGUCAAAUUAACUUAAACAUUUAAACAUUGGGUUAACUUGACUCUUAAAAAGGGUUAUUGAGUCAACCCAAAAUUUGGGUUAAUUUGAUUAACCCAACAUUCUGGGUCAAAAUAACCCAACAAGUAGUUGGUCCUUUUUCAACCCUGGUGUUAACCCAGGGGUUUUUAGAGUGUAACAUCAACUAUAAGCUUUUGAACCCACUUAAGAGUUUUUGAGUGUUGAUGGUGAUCACUUUGAGGUCAACCUUAAGUUUUUUUAAACCCUCCUCUCAAGAUAAGACAUUGGUUUUUUGGUGUUUUGUUGAUAGAGAUUGAGUUGUCAACAUUUUGCUUUUGAACCCUUAAAGCGUCUUUGGUGGUAUUUUGGGUGGUACUGUGGUAGAAGUCAGUUUUGCAUCAACCAGCUGUUAAACUGACCUGGAGUUUGGUAACUUAGACUCAACGUCUUUAGUCUGGUGGUAGCUAUCUCAAGGUCAAAUCUGAGCCUUUGAACUUUCUUCUUAAAACCUGGAGUAAAUGAGUUUAAUUUUGGUGAUUUAAGUUAGCUUUUGAACGCCCCAUUUGAAGUCUGUAGUUGGUGGUUUUUGAGAUGCUCCUAAAGUUUGCAUCAUUAGCUUUUAAAUGUGUUCAGGAGCUUGAUACUGGUUGGUUUUGGUGGUGUGUUUCAUUCGCUUCCUCCUCCUCUGCUUUUAAACCCAUCUUUUUUUGGGGGGUGAAAGCAACUCUAGCUUUGUUCUGGACUUUUGAGCCUCCCUUUUUGAAGCUUUAAGUUCGGCAUUGUUGCAUUUCAGAGGUAUUUUGGCGGUAACUUGUCAACGGCCAAUUAUUCACUUUUUAAACUUCCUGUUUCAAAGCUUGGUGUGCGUUCUUUUGGUGUUGUUACAGUGGUAGCAGCAUUGAUCUGAACCCUUUAAUUAUAGCUGUAUGACUGGCUUUUUUGGCAUCAACCAUUAGCUUUUGAAUCUCAUAUUUAAAGCUCAGUGUUUGGUAGUUCUGUGGUUGUGUUUAGAACCAUAGUUGGCCAUUUCUGAUCCCUGAUUAUUGUUUUAUUUCAGAUUACAGGCCACCCGAGUUCCAAUUUGCUAAUUAAAACUGUAUACAAACACCAAGCUUGUUAUUUUACUGUAAAUUGUACCAUUUAUUACAAAGUGACAAUAAUCCUGCUUUGUCAGAACAAAUCUUGAUUGAUUUUUUUCAAUAGUUGGGAAAUUAGAACCAUUUUCUGGUCUGGUUUAGACAAUUUUGUCUUCCUUUCUGCUGGCUGUUAUAAAUAAUGCAGAUUUGAAGCACUUGUGUGUGGUCCUCAGUUUGAAAAACAGAGGUGAUAUGCUGAGUUAUGAUUUCAAAGUGAACUUUAACUCUUCUUUAGUGACUCACAACAUUAGGAUCCCUCUCAUGACCUUCUUCUGUGAUCUUUCCUUCACUUCCAUGCCCACAUGCUAACACAAAAAAGUCAGACUCUUUUAAGGGUGUAAUAAAACUCAGCGUGAUUUAAGAGCUAUGCUAGAUGACCCCAAUGUGUGAAUUUGACAGAAAUGUGAUCUCUCAAAGGCACCUUUCACCUCCUAUCAGCAACAAAACAUGAACAUUCAAACACCAUCAAAAUGAAAUGCACGCUUUAUGGGCCUGUAAGACUCUUUAUUCACCAGGCGAUCUAUAUUUCCAUGUCAUCGCCGCUCUCCUCUAUUCCAUUAUCAUUUUUUAUCUGAUAGGAAACAAAUCAAGGGUUUCCCAGUGUCAGGAACAAAAGCCAUUUUUGUGUUGAAGGUUAUAGAAAAGCAUCGUCACGUAAGGGAAAUGAUUAUAUUGGUGCCCUUCGGAUAGACUCCAAUGUCACACAUGAGGAGACAAAGAAUUUCAUCACACAGGCUGAGCUUUUUUGCUUUUUUUUUUUGACAGCAAUCAGAUCCAUUUUAUUCUCUUUGUGGGGCUUCGUAUUUGCUAUAAAAUCUUAGAGAUUGACUCCAAAACCUUACCACAGGGGUGAAAAAAUCCUAUUAGAUUGAAAACAGCAAGAGACGUAAAAAAAAAAAGAGAAAAAAAUCGUAUUAGCAAUAAUAACAGAUUGCAGAAUUCACUGCGUCUGGGAUGACUAUUUUAGUGAAAAUGAUACAGCCAGGGUAUGAGAAAUUAAACCCAUUUCAGAGGGUGGUGUCAAUGCUGAUGUUUACUGGUUUUACAGACACUUCCAUUAGAAAACCAUUAGCAAGGCGAUUACUAUGAUUAACUCAAAAUUGACCCACUGCGUCCAUUCACUAAUCCCACUGACCAUAAUGCAAUGCAGUUACCAUAUGACUCGUUUCGGAGCAUUUAAGUGGAUGAACUUUGCACCCCGGUCCUGCUGGAGUUAUCGGGGGGGAUUAACUGGGGUUAGAAACCAAAGAUUGGAAGAUGUACCAUGUCAAUACGAUGUUAUUGCAAUAAAACUGAUUGGCCUGACCUCUGCGCUUCGACAAGAGGAGCUUCGUUCAGCCGGGGCAAUUACAGCCAGAUAACAGGCGGCUGAAUGAAAAUGUUACAGGAGCUCUCUCAGCUGUUAUCAGUCUUAAUUUAGGCAGACUUUUGGGUCAUGGUUCACCUUUAAGAGGUCAAGAAAUCAAAAUCUAUUAAUUCUACACAAUAAUAAUAAUAAUAAUGUAGAAAAUUUUGUAAAAUAUUACCUGAUUUCAACUGAUUACAAGCAAACCCAAUUGUGUUGCUAUAAAUCUCUAAGUUCUGUAAAACUGAUUUUUUUUUUUUUUUUCUUGUCUGCACAAGAUAAAAUCUUGAAAUUAUUUGUCUCGGUGCAAAGAUUCAGCAAUAACAUCGAAAACAGUAUUUGCUCAAAUAAAACUAGAAAAUUCUUGUGAUAAAUGGCGUCAAAUUGAAAACGGAUGGCCAACAAGAUAACUAUCUUGUGAACACAGGAUGAUAAUUUGUUUUGCACAGUAGUUAGACUUGCAUUUGAGCUGAUAAUCUCCUCCCAUUGAAUAAUUUUCUUAUCUGCAAUAGAUGUUUUUACCUUAAUAAUGUUAUCUUGCAAAAUUGCAUUCAAAAUCAUCCAACAUGAUGAUUGUCUUGUGUGAACAAGCUAACUUGUUCCAUUUACGUAUCCAUCUUUUCUACAUAAUACGAUGACUUUUCCCACAAGUUAUUCCGUGAUCCAACUGAUCUGUGCUCACAAGAUAAAAAAUAGUCUUUAUGUGAUCAUUUUCUUUUGUGCACAGGAUAACUUAUGGUGGGUUCCAGUUACCUCUGUCGUUGGAUGUCAGGGAACGGGAAUGGGAAUGACGCUGCACCCGAGUUGACGGCGUUCCAGUUAACAAGUGGGUAAACCAAGAUGGAUGCAAACAGUUAGCGGUUGUUAGCUGUUGGUUACAAUUGUCAGCUGUUGUUGGCUGAUGUCAGUUGUUAUUGAUACCAGUUGUAAACAACGCAUAACACAGUAUUUUACUCUUACAAACACCAUAUCAAUCAUAUGGGCAGUACAACAUAAACCACGUAUUCAAUUUCCCAAAAACAAAACAAAAGUGCUAAUAAAUAAUACAUUAUGAGAGCUUUUACUGUUACUCUUUGCUGUUGAUGCACUGUGCUGCCAUCUUGAAUUAUGACGUUGUCGUCAAGUCAGGGUUGGUGAGGAUUGUCCAACUUUCUGAAUUGGAAAUCCGACUUCAAGGGGACAUUCCAGAUGAAUUUCCAACUCGGAGCUCGGAAAUCCCAAUGAGUACAACUGGAACGCAAGGUUAUUCCUGAAGAUAGUUCUGAUGUGUGCCCAAGAUGAUAACCUGUUCCAACAAGACAACGAUCUUUGAUAUUGGCAUUUCAGUAUUCUACUUUAGCCUAGAGGCACCAGAGGAAUCCAUCAUGUUUUCUGGUGGUUGAAUUUAGCAUCAGUUUCCAGCUAGUAUCAUGCAACAUUGUUUGCUAAUGUUUGUCAAAGUCUUACAGUGACAAAUUUCUGAACAUUUGUUAUAAAUUCUGCAGCUUAAUUUCUUUAUUUGUAGGAUUUUGAGAUUGUAUUUGACAUGUUUCCAGUAGGUCUGGAUGAAGUGGUGAAUGUUUUCCUCACAACAGCUGUUCCAUGAGGAGAUUUUUGGGGAUUAUGUUGUUAAUGCCACAACAGACACCAUAUAAAUCCUCAGAAACACACUUGAUGUUGAAACUGGUAAAUGUACAGCAUUAAUGCAUUUUUACACUUAAUACAGCAGCAAAAAGCCACCAACUCAGCCCUGUUCGAUUCCUCCCACUUUACCUCAGUAUUGCUUAUAACUUUAACUCCAAAUGCAGAUUUCUUGAGUCAAUUAGAGAAACACUAAAGGAUAAAAGGCUACAACUCAGAGAGGCACUUGCACUUAAUUGAUCGUUGUCUGAACAAUGCCAACGCACAGUGAUGUACAAGCUUCUGUUUAAUUACAAGCAUUGUGGAGGCGGGAUUGUAUCAGAGUUCAUGGAGAUUUACUUAAUUUAAAAGGACAUGGCACAUAGAAGCUUGUCUGGGAGAGAAACAAGAUGUGAAAAUCUGCAAAUACCUGGAGAAAACGACCAAGUGACCUGGCAACACUAAUUCUAAAGAUUCUGAGAAUGUGUCCAAGUCAGGCGAGACAAGCACAGUUAAAACGCCAGCAAACAAUUUGGUAGAAGUUUUGGCGCUGUGGGCAGGUGCAAAGUUCUGUUGAUAAAGGAAACAAGCAUCUCUGUGAAGCUUGGCUGCAAUUUGCAUUUCUGUACCACAUCCUGCAGUGAGUCCAACCAUGGAGCCAGCUUUUUACCACUUUCGAACUUCAGCCGUUGCCUUGGGUGGGAUGUAUACAAGUAUUGGUAUAAUAUGACAUGUAUGUCUUUUAACGUAAAUUCUUACAUGCAAAUGGGAUCUGGUUCCACUCUGAGCCAAGCCGAUGACAAAUCAUCACCAUGGACGACCAAUUACUUGUUUAAAAGGGUGCCUCUACAAGACUGUAUUGAAAACAGCAUAUUGUUAGGUAGGCGGGGAACACUUUGAAAUGCUUUAAGUGCAUAUAGGUUUUCAAAAGCAGAGGAAAAUAAGGUUUCAGCUCUUUAUAGCAAAGUGGCUUUUUCAUGCAACUGGAAUAAUAGCUUGGUCAAACAGAGGUGGCGUUCUGGUUCAGCCUAAAAGACAUCCUCAGGCUGCAUCUUGAGGGACUAAAACUUCAGGUUCAGGUGCGCUAAAGCUGGAAAAGAGUUAUAUCUGUUCUGAAAGGCCAGGUGAGAAGGUGGGGUUAAAAGUCCAGAACUGAAUAAAGAGCAGCGAUAGAUUUUAAUUCAAGUUUGCAGUCUCUGAGAUCCAGUCAAUUCCUGCAUGAAGUGGGAGCAAAUGUCACUCCGUUGGCUUUGAUUACUGUGCGACAUUUAAAAAGUUAGAAAACACCGUCCUGUUUUGACCAAGCCUCGUUCAGACCAUUACAGGCCGGGAAUGUUUCUUCAUCUGUUGAUUCCAAGCCUGAAGGUCAUGACCAGGACAAGAAAUGUAAAUCUGGUGGUCGUUUAUUGGUAGAAUACAGUAAAAUAGGGCAAAGCUUCACCAAAAUGCUUGAUGAGUGGAUUAAACCGUUCAACCGACCCUUCAGCAAUCAACCAGAGCGCAAAUAUUCAAUAAUUCUGUUGCUUUUUCCUCAAAUCAUGAUUCAGCACAGCACCAUAAGUUUGCACAUCUUGACACUGUACUUAAUCCUCAAUUAAAAUGUAUCAUCAUUCCAGUAUACAUCCGAAUGCAAGAAAGAAAGAAAUUGUUUAGCCCUGGAACAACCCCAGCCUGAUGAAACCUCGGCGCUCCAAAGCAAAGCAGAUCAGAAAAUGACAUCUCCCUAUUCAGAUUGACUGAUUCCUGCCGAGGCUUGCGCGCAGAAAGCGCACGCUCCGGGCUGCUCAUACAGAAGGCUAACCACACGUAGAUAAGGCCGAACCCGACUGGUGACACGCCUGGCUUGGAAAAGGGGAGGAAGAAAGCAAAUCACUCAGGACAAUCUAUUCCCUCCGCUGCCAGUCACUUCACUGCCGUCAAUUCAAUACCGGCUGCUCCAGAGCGACACAGUGGCCUCUGAAUACCAUUUCCAUAUCAUUAUUCCUACAUAAAUGGCAGACCGCUUGCUGUUUCAUCAACCUUUUGGACCACAUGCUGGUAAAUAAAUAAACAAAGUUCUCAGGUGUAUAUAUGGAAAGGGUGAGGAGAAGCUAAUGGGAUGGAGAGGCCCGCAAAUAGGGACCAGGAAGUGCUUUGUAGCUGUGGCUGGCUUUAUUGUCGGACGGGUUGACCCCCAGUUGAAUGAACAUUUGUCAUUGGGGAAGGGGGGGCGGUUUUCUCUUUGUAGGUUUGCGCAGGUGGACGGACUAAAUGGGUGCAAAAAUGCAAUUCUCUUGGGGGAAUGAGGGUCUUUUCAAGUCCAGGACUGGCAUGUUUGUCUUGUUUAUUAAAAGAUAAAUAUUAUAGAAAAUGAGUGUUUGUGCACUAAACAACCAUGAGUGGAACAGUUGCUGUGGUUACCAAUAAGACUUUUCUUGUUGGUCCAUGCCCAGAAUGAAAAAAUGCCCCAUCUAUAGCUCGUUGUACACUUCAGCUAUUGUACAAGCAGCUAUGUAAUCUACUAGGAAUAAACAACAACCUGAACCUGAACGACCUGGAAAUAUUUUGUUUUAUAAAUGUUCCGUUUUUUAGUAAAGUUAAAGCUCCUGUGUGGAACUUUCAGACAGAUGCCCCCUGUGGCCACUUUUGUCCUCUACCUCCUUAAAUUGCAUCUUGACAAAAAAAAAAAAAGAUCCAAAUUACUGGCUUCUAAAAGUCAAAUGUGAAUGUUUUAUGUGGGAUUUAUAAAUAAAUAAAUAAUAAAAAAAAAAAGGGGUUGCUCAACACCUGCCCCCUUACACCGCUUUCAGGUAUUAAAAAUUGUGACUUAAAUUUCGUCAGUCUUGUCACUGAUGGUGUUGUUUGCUUUCAUUUAUCAUAAAAAGGCAUUAUUUAGAAUUUUAGUCAAUUUCUCAAAUGUCAAAAACAAAAAAAAAACAAACAAACAAAAAAAAAAAAACAGGGCUCGGUCAACACCUGCCCCCUUUACACUAGUUUCAGGCAUUGAAAAUUAUGCCCCCUGUGGCCAAUCUUGUCCUCUGCAUCGUUAAAAUGGCAUCUUGACAAAAAAUAAAUAAAUUAACUGGCUUUUAAAAGUGAAAUGUGAAUGUUUUAUGUGGGAUUUAAAAAACAAAACAAAAACAAAAAAAUACAAUAAUAAUAAUAUUAAUAAUGAUAAUAAUAAUAAUAAUAAUAAUAAUAAUAAUAAUAAUAAUAAUAAAAAGGGCUUGGUCGACACCUGCCCCCCUUACACUGCUUUCAGGCAUUAAAAAUUCUGACUUAAAUUUCGUCGGUCUUGUCACUGUUGGUGUUACAGCUGUAGCUGUAAACCAAAAUAAAGGAAGUGUUCUUCAAUUGAGCUGUUUUCUGCUACAGUUAAAGCCCCAGUGCUGUUCUCAUUUCAAAAGGUCCUGAACCACUGGUUUAGACACGACCCAUCCCCCAGCUCUCCAAGCUUCCAGUGUGAGGCUUACUAACUAAUGGCCACAAGUUAACAUCUGUCCAUCAGGGAGAGUUUCCAGAGGAGUUAAAAACAGUCCUGGAUCUAUUACAGAUGAACUGCAGUGCCGACUGUAAUUAUAUCACAGUUCCAUUUGGCGUGUCUCUAAGCACGUCUUAUUAUUCUUGGUAUUAAAUAUUACAGUAUUUCUAUCAGAAGUUUGGACUGUGAUAAAGUUCCUGAGCCUUAAACACAAAGUUCACUUUCAAAAGUCUGCCCCUUAUCAAGACCAGCGUCUUUCUGCUGCAGCCGCCCUCCCGCUGUGAAGUUAAAAGCAUUCACAUUUCACCGCCACGCUGGUGUGACAGAUGCUUUUAUCAACCUAAAUGCUCUUUUCGGUGUCUUAACAUAUAAUUUGAGAAUAAACCGCCACUCUCGUCUGUCAUUCAUGGCGGACGCUUGUAACAACAUAGUCCCACAACUCGGCCCCUUUAAUUAGACCGGAGCCGGCGAAGAAGUCUGUGUGGGAGACGUUUUACAUGGAGGUUAUAUUUUUUUCUUUUUCAGCACAGCAAGACAUUAAGUUUUUUUUGAAUCACCCGAGUUGACCUGCCGCCUGCCAAAUUGAAUUUUUAAGUUCAAAAGCACAGGGGAAUUUGUACUCAUGGUGACUAAAGUUAAAAAAUGUAUCUUUUGUGCUUCACUCUUUUGGUGCUUCUGUGAUACAAAGGUUAGAGUUCUUGAGAUAAAAGUAGUAAAAAUCAAAGCUUUUAAUGCAUGUCUCAUUUGCUUUAAAAGUGUGACUUGACUUUGUUGCUUUUGCAGCUUGUUUAACAAGUAAAAAGUCAUAUGCGCUAUGUUUCAAACAUAAAUAAAUACUGACGUUCUUUGAGAUUAAGGGAUUUUAGACAUGCGAUUAAAAUUGCGAUUAAUCGCGAUUAAAUGUCGAAAUUAUGCGAUUAAUUGUGAUAAAAAAUGUCAAAUAUAAACAUCCUCAUCCUUUAAUGCAUGUCUCAUUUGCUAUAAAAUUGUGACUUGGCUCGGUUGCUUUGGCAGCUUGUUUAACAAGUUAGCACAAUGUGUCAAAUAUAAAUAAGAUUAACCAUGGUGGUUAAUCGCGAUUAACCAUCAAAAUUAUGCGAUUAAUUGUGAUAAAAAAUGUAAAAUAUGAACAUCCUCAAAUGAUUAUUUAGAUAUCUAGUUUAAACAUUUUUAUAUACAUUUACAAAAGCCAAAGAUUAAAGUAGUUUUCUCUAUCUAAUGCAGAGACAGGAAGCUGCUUUGACACUCUGCGGGAGCCGCUCACAGCACUCAUACAAACAGCCUCAUACAGAGAUGUGUUUGUCAGCGGCAGACCGUGAAAAGUUCAGCUGUUGUUGAUGUUUUUCUCCUGACAAACUUGUUGAUCGCUCGGUGUUUUCCAGGUACCUUCACCCUGAUUGAAGCUGCUUUCACUCCGGGGACAUGAUGUGAUGCAUGUGAACAUUUUGAGCCCAUUUAGGAACUUCAGCGUCAUUUACCAAUACAUAACCUAAUGUAGAUUAUUCUGAGCCAACGGAGCAGAUAAGUGAUCCGCCGGACUACAGGUUUCUGCGAGGUUAGAUUCAUCACACGACCAAACUGCAACACAGCAAUGUGCUUAGUCAGUAUUAAGGGUAGACGAUAGAUUGUGUUUGUGUAUUGGCAUGAUCUCCCUCUCCAUCAUCAUCUUUACUUUGCUUGUAAACACACACACACACAUACACAACUACACACAAACACCCCCUCAGUAACACUCCAUCCUGGCAGUCAUUAGAGUCCCAUGAGCUCUUUUGCUUGUAGCACCUCAGUCCCGUAGAUCUCUGCUGCCAAUAAUCGUUAUAAUUGAUGAUUUCCUUCUAAGCCUCUAAUGAUGUUUCUAGUAUUUAUGGUUACACAAAGCCAGGCGAGCUGAUUCAUAAUAGUUUCUUCCUGCCGCUUUAUUGGCAUGGCGUUUCUCACAUUCUCAUCACUAAAUUAAUUUUGACCUGGCGAUGCCGUAGAUCACUUUAAACCGCUGCGCGCCGUCUCACUGUGACCAGGUUUUCUUAAGCUGUUGUCGUAAAGAAUGGUUUAUCGACCCUUCCUGCUGACGCUUUAAUAAGUGCUUUGCAUAACAAGUGUUUUACUGCAAGAUAAAUCACAUGGGCUGGCGGCGGGCUGUCAAAUACACAAGUGCACACAUGUGUAGACAUAAAGCAAGGCAGUGCUCAAAAGUGGGCACCGGUAUUUACUGAUUAAACUCUGUUAAAUCUAUAAAAAAGGCAGUGAGAUUUAAAGCUCCUGUAAGGGAUUUUAGUUGAAACAGAGAAACGUGGAUAAAAGUUGUCCUCAUUUAAAUUCAUAGCCAGCAGGACCGAGGGAGGCAUUUUCGCCAUCAUAUUGCAUAAGUCAGGUGCAAAUAUGACUGGACCCCAAAAAAUUCUAACAAAGGUUUCUCACCUGUUUUUCAUUGUAUUAGAUGUCCUUAAUAACAUACUAAAAGUUCACCAAAGUUCGACUGCUAGAAAGGUGUCACUUUCACGAUUGCGUCCAUGAACUUAUUCCACGUCACUGUGGAGUCCGUCUGAGUAUGUUAUUGAGGACAUCUUAUACAAUAAAAAAAAACAGUUGAGAAACCUUUUAUUAGAACUUUUUUGGGGUUAGAUGUUUUUUUUUUCAUAAAUGCACCCGCCUACAUCACCUCUUCUUCAAACGGUGCUCUAUAAAUGUCCGGGAACCAACUAGACCAGUUUCUGGAGUUUCAAAAGUGAAAUGUUGUCCCACUCUUACCUGAAGUAGGAUUUCAGUCGCCCAAUAGUCAUUGUUGUUGUAUGUUUUUGUGCACUUAUACAUCCCAUCAUCCAUCACGGAGGCCGGGUUUUGGACUGUGCGGGCCCUGUACCGAUUUCAAAGGGAGGACGCUCACAGAUGAUGGUUUUUGGGAGUGAUUGUAAGGCCAUGCGGCACUUUCCACUACAGAGUCACGUCUUUUUCAAUGCAGUGUUGCCUGGAGGCUGAAGAUCUGAGGGAAAAAUGUCUGAUUGAUUGUUAUGGACGGAGCUAGGGGACCUUAAUUAAGGCAGGAGCACCAGUGACCCAAACAACAAGAAUAACAACAGGGCAAAAAAAGAGCAACAGGCCUUAUUUAUUAGUUGAAAAAAUGAGAUGACUGAAGAUGAGCUCUCGCCGAGGUGCAUAUUGAUCCGUCGAGAAGAAUGUUAGGCAUAUAUAAUAAAAACACAUCAACUUUCAUCCCUUUAAAUGAUGACCUGCCUGUUGUGAGCAUGCUAGCCAACAGCAGCAGAUCUGUUAGGAACAGGAGGAAUUCAAUCAGGGAGAUCCAUGGACCCGAGCGGAGGCCCCUGAGUGAGAUCGAUGGCCUGAGAGGCAGGUUGCGAAGGGGUCAGCUCCCCUGGUGCGGCGUUUUAUCUCCGUCCUGUUGCCACUCCUGUUUAGGAACGUUGUUGCCGGGGAGGGUGGGGGGGGACUGGAAGCAGUGUUGCAUCCUGGUCCCAGAGGCAGCCCAGGCCUACCACAAUAAUAUCAUUUUAUGUCAGCCAUGAGUGAAAGUUUCCCCAACUUGGGGCGGGCUGAUUGAUGGCUGUUGUAAAUCAGGGCUGAGAGUGCUGCAUGGGGUUUUAUAGUGCGGGGAAAUGAUGCAGGUUGUAUACAACUCUCCUUAACACCUCCACGCUUUAAACCCAGUGACUGUCCAAGAAAUGUGCGCUUUUUAGAGUACUACACCCACCCGAACUGCAGGAAAGAAUUUGCAAUGGUAAACAUUCAAACACUACAAAAUAUCCCUUUGUACAAUAUUAACAUAAUUCGAGUCAUUAUGUCCCAGACUGAAUUACCAACAUGGCAAAUCACACUGCUGCUCUAGGGACCAGAAAGCUCCGGGCACUCUUCAUGUGAAUUAGUUUCUGUAAUAUGAUUGAUUGCUUAUUUGUUAGAGAGUUUGCAGCACUGGAGUACAACUAAUAGAGGCUUGGCACCGGGAGAUCAUUUCGCAGCAGUCUUGUCCAGAGGCCCUGUGUCAGAAUCCAGUUUAAAGGAGCUCCUCUGUUGUAAUUUUUUGUUCAUUUUUUUCGUGUUAGAGGUUUUGUUUUAUCACGCUACCAAAGUAAAGUACAAAUGAACCAGGAGUAAUGAUUGCUCCAGGAAAAAUGGACGUAAUGAAGUAACUAGGAGCUUACGGUUUGCACAGAGGUUGGUAAAUUGGGGUCAGUUUUGGGGGUAAACCUGUACUUUUUUCACUGGGGUAGUCCAAUUACCAUUAAAAUACUUAAUUUAUGCUUCGUGUCUAUAAUUGCUUUUACAGGAAAACAGAGUGGUAGCAUAUGAACCUUAAAAAGUAUCAAAAAUUUGCUCAAUUAGUCAGUUUAAUUGGACCAAUAUCCUCGAGCCCCAGAUGACCUGGUCACACGCCUCCUUUACAGCUUGUUACUGGCCUUUAACCAAAGCAAUCAGGUGUUAAUCUGACUUUGACAUCUUUGACCUAAUGGGAUUUCAUGUAGACUGGCAUGUUGUGUAUAUUCAAGUCUAGUUUCCAUUGGACUGGCACAAUAUAUCCAUAUUUUUUGACAGUUUGUCUCCGUUUGGUAGUUUGCUUGUGUUUUUUGAUGGACUAAUUCAUAACAAGUCUCAGAAACUUCAGAGAACAAAAGUCUUUUAAAUAAAUGAGCAAAAUAGCCAGGAACAAUGUAAGAUUUUUGGGGUGGCCAAUUAGAAGGAGGGCAAUGCCACCCCUGGCCUUCACUCUGGACACACCCCUGGUCAGUUUGGGCCUGAUAGUUUAUUUUACUCUGAGAAAUCUGCCCCUGGAAAAGUUAUCAUCACAGAGCAGUUACCUGAAAAUAUCUCUACGCCCUUUAUUCGGUAUAUGUGCAGAAAGAUGGAGGAAAUCAAUCAUUUUGGUCGAGCAGUGUGUCUAAUGUACAUGAUGAAGACUCAGCGAAUCUGCUCUCUAGCCAAGAAAUGAGGGGAUCUCCAGAGUCUGAAUUGAUUUUUGAAGUUGGCGCCGAAUGAGUAUAUUCCAACAGAAUGAAUUUAUUGCCAUCUUGAACCAAGACAUCUGGUCUCACCAAUUUAUAACCUUGGACCCAGAUUGAGUUCAGGCAAGACUGAACAAAUAUUAGUGCCAAAAUAGAGAGGGAUGCCAAGGCCUGGAUGGUGGAUCAGCACUUUGGACUUGCGUACAGCGCCUUAAAUUAAUUUUUCAACAAACUCCCAGCGUAAACUUUCACACUCCAAAUCCUUCUUUCCCCAAAGUGUUUCUGUUGCGAUCUAAUUCAGAUAUUAAACAACUUUCUGUAUUCUUGUUUUCCAUGCUUUUGAGUUGUUUCCUGCAGCGUCGUGACCACAGACAAGAACACUUAAGACGGUAAAUUCUGCAUCAAAGCAGUCUAUCUCAGCUCUUUAUUAUCCCUCCUCCUGCUUUCCAUUUCUAUUUAUCAUAUGUAUUUCCUCUGUGCACCAUAGGCUUUUUCAUCUGACCUUGUGUUGAGCCACAAAGAGCUUUCGGCUUCUUGCGCUGACAUUAAAAAAAGAGCCUGAAAUUUUUGUCCAAGUUUUGACGAACUGACUGACGUAAGAAGAAGACACAUUCAGGUCUGAGUGUCCUCCAAAAACUAGGGCAUAUAAUCUGAAAACAGGAACAUCGCCUUGAGAAGAAGAAGAAGCGCGACUUUCAUGGAUCAAUUCCCUGAAGUGAGAUCGACAGCAGGAUCAUGAUUCACAGUGCCGGUCUUGCUUUUCAACAACACAACACCAUACAUGUACCAUCAUGUACCCCUGUAACAACACAAUACCUUUCAGAGCGUAUUUGCACUCGAGUUAAAGGUUUGGAGGAAAUAUUGCUUGUUAGAGUUCAUCCUGAAAGCAAAAGCGGAGCAGCACUGCGUCAUACAUACAGGGUAAAUGGAAAACUGAGCUCAAUAUAUGCUUGACGGGGUCACACAAGAGAGUACUUAUGAGAAAUGUGCGUCUGGUUUUCGAGUAGAGCUGCAGCAGCCAUCUAUUAUGGAGUUUCUAUAGAUAUUAUUGAAGGUUGAGUCAUGGAUGUAAACGGUACAAUGAGAGAACAUAUGGAAACUUUUCAUCAUACGUUUGACCAUCGGAUAGGAACUAAAGCUUGAACUUCGCCAAAAGUUCAGAAAAAAUGACCUUACAAAGAGCAACAUUAGUCACAGCAAGAGCCCUAGCAAGAGUGAGGUACUGAGUUUGUUCAAUUUGGAAUUUAGUUAUUAUUAAAAGUCAUUUUCGAUAUUCUAUUGUGUCUGUAAGCAACUUGAACGUAAACAGCAGUUAUUUCCCUUAACAACUUGGAAAAGUCGACGAAGCUGACAGAACACUUUUUCAUUUGUAAUUUAUGUAAGAUGUGGUGAUUUUUGACAAUUUUUACUUUUUUAUCGCCUAAAACGUGGGCGCCAUUAAUCUUAAUGGUCCUAACCCUGACUAAUCUACCAGUAUAUAAUGUAUAAAAGGGUUUUUUUGUAAUUGUAAUGCUGUAGUUUACCCAGAAGAUGGCGCCAAACUAGCCAAAGCUUCAUCACACACGUCCACCAUCAUGACUGCGACGAUCACCCCACAAACUUUGUAAAGCGCUGUUAAAACUGAUAAUGAGUUGAGCUCAAGUUUAUGCUAACUUCUGGGCAGCUGGCAGGAUUGGCAGCUUAAAGGUGGGGUAGGCAGGAUCUGAGGAAGUUCCAGUUUUUGGGAGAAAUCUUGAACAUAAACACUACCCCUUCAACAGACGACCAGCAAACACAAUGUUUGCAGGACUUCUACAACGAGGAUAAAGUGACAUAGUCCAGGACCCGAGGGAGACAGUUACGCGGCGCUACAACACGCAGCAGGUCCAGUUUGACAAGAAACACUUCUGUUACAGACACUUGUCUUACUUUGUUAAAGCGGUUUACCUGUCCAGCAGAAAGGUUACAGGGUCCGUAAGAUCCCAAAGCAUCUCCCAUCAUUGUUGACCCGGCUUUUUUAGCUCUUGUCCAGGUGGCCUCCCUCCUUUUUAAGCGCCCGUUAUUCCGCCAGAGUCUCCGGUAUUUCUCUUCCUUUUCCUUUUACUUCCUUUUCUUGCUUGUGUCGGCAGUCGUGGCCAAAGGAGGAUUCAGACAAUUUUCCGAACUUUCUGGUUGGUUUCUACUCUCCGAUAUUGUAGCACGCUAACUUUGUUUGGACUCCUGAACGACACGGGGAGCAGCAUCCGCCUCACAACCAAUCAGGUUGGGGAGGCGGAGAAUGGCUUUGUUUACAGUCAGAAAAAGCGCUCAAAAAAUUUAAAAUGUUGAUUACACAGAGAUAACAAAACACAGCGAUAUCGUUAUAUUACCAAAUGUCAUCAAUAACUAAUAGCUAUUGACUGAUAUUAAAAUCUUUUUUGUAUAUACACCACAAAAAAAGAUGCUUCUUUAACGGAUUCCUGCCUACCCCACCUUUAAGAAGGUACUAGAUAGAGCUUCUUGCAUGAUGAGGACUAAGCCAGUUCUUUCUUUUCCUUGACCAACAAGCCGUAUCUCAUAUUAACACUCAUGAAUACUCCAGAUUUGAUAGGACUUAAAUUAAUUAUUCGUAGUAUUUUCCACUAUGUUUAAAGAGUGGACAUGUGUCCUAUCUGUUGCUGUUUCAAUAAAGCGAGCAACUCCUUGUACAUAAGGCUAAUUAGCAGCAACAUGAUUUUGCUUUGUUACCUCACACAGAUUACUCCUGUCAUUGUUUGGUGGUGGGCGUUUGCUGAGUGUAAAAAUACAUAUUUCAUAAUGAAAGUGAUAACAGAGUCGUAUUCCUCUCAUCUCUGGCUUUAAAACAAGUGAUCAAAAGUUCUUGUUUUUAUUCAAAGUGCUUCUUGCUCUUUUUUUUUCUCCUUUUGAAGACACGACUGCCUGCCUAAAGUGACUGGUAAGUCUGCUAAAAACACACAAACACACACACACACACACACUCGGUCUUUUAUUUCCAGAGCUAUUUUUGCAUCUUUAUUUUUCGUCUUGUACUUCUUGUCAGUUAUUUUUCUCCCUUACUUGAUAGAUUUAAUAAGCCGCGAGUUUCAUAGUCUCAACUUCACAGUUGGUUCUAUCAAAAGUCUUUGUGUUAGUGAUCAUUUCUGGGGAAGGCUGUGCACCUGUUCAAGGAUUUUUAUUGAUCACUCAAUCAACUUUUCUUUUUUGGACUUUUAAAAGCUUUUCAGAAUAGUAUUCUUACUUCUGAGUAAACCUACAGCCUCCAGCUCAGACUGAGAAGCACUUUGGUCUGUAUUUCCGUACAUGCAAGACUGUUAUACGUGCAGGAUACAUGGAUAGAGUGUUUUUAAGGUCAUGUAUAAGGACGUUUAUCUGUUUACAACAUGUCCAAGUUGUCUUUUAUUUAAGGUGAUAAUUUCUGUCACAAUAAAUCAACAAAACACAUUUGCAGCUGCUCAGUUUAUAACCUCAUUAUCAUUGUAGUGAUUGAUGCUAAAAUAAUGAACUGCUGUGCUGAUUAGGCGGAGAAGCACCAAAACAAACGACUUUGAUCUGAAGGAUAUUAAAGUAAGAUGUAUUUUUUGAGAAUAUCGGACCUUUAAAAGAGUAGUACUCAUUAAGAUAUCUUUUAUUUUUAGAUUUCUGCAGCUGGACCUUGAAAUCUAUUGAAUUUGUUGCACAUAUAGGAACACAUUUAUCAUAAUCCAGGGGUACAACAAGGCCAGGGUUAUAACAAGUGGGUGAUCACGACUUCUCUGUCCUCAUGGAUUACUAAUUUACUUGAUUAAUUGGUUGAGUUAAGUAAUUUAGUGUCAUUAAAUAUCGUUAUCUGUAUAUCAUUUUCCACUCCUUUCUGAGUAUUCUUCAAAGAUGAAAAAUUACAGUAAUGGCAGUUAGAGUUAUGUCAUGGUUACACAUGGUAACUAAGUUAAGAUAACUGUUUCCACUUUGUCUCAGUCCAUGAAUUCCAAAUUAACGCCACAAUGCAGCUGCUUGUUUGUAGCGAGACCUCGGGCCAGUCCAUUACGGACUACAGCGGGGUGACGCAGCUCAAGGAAGAACAUUUAUGAUCAUUUCUUUAUGGAAAUGCAAUCAGACCGAGACGCUAAGGCAGAAGAACUACUGUGUCUGCAGUGCAAAAUGAUUAAUAUGAUGAUUAUUACUUGGUUGCUGGAAGAGAGUAGGUGAGUUGUGUUUAGUCUCUUUGCUAAAGAAACCAGGCAAAGCUAAAAAGAUGUUUGGUGUCUAGUACUAUGUCUGUGACCCUAUAUGUCCUGUUGAUGAAGUUAGGUGCUGUUCUGAGCAUUAUUUGUGGCUAUAGAGUGGCUUUCUGGUUGAGCGCAUGGCUCCCUGUAUUGCUAUCUGUGGUCAUUACUUAAGUUGAUAUAACUAGAGAAGCAAGUGGUCGGCAACAUUCAUCUCUCGAGGGGGUGUCUAACUCGGUGUUACGGUGUGUUUGACCCUAAAUUAAUUUUACACCGGAAUAUCCCUUUACUUACAGAUUUCUCCUGGAUUUAAAUCAUUAACAAACUCUCAAAUUAACAUUUAAUGGACAUUUUUUAAUUGGAGUGUUAAUGAAGUCCAAAACACAGAACACAUCAGUUGUUGGUUUGAUUUGCUCCAUGAGUCAUAAACCUUUAGCCUGUUUUUAUGACUAAUUGAAUUUAAAGAUGGAAAAUUUGAUUGAGAUGCAUCAUUUGUGUCACAGAUUACAACCAGGAUGUUGAAAAACAAGGUGUGUUACAAGAAUUCACAGGACUUCAAUAACUUCUAGGAAAAAAAAAGAAUAAAGUCAGCCAAUAUGUCUUUGACUCGGUUUUUAUUGCAUGUUUUAGCCCGCGGCACUUGUACAAAAUUGUCCCUGUUUCAUAUUUGAUUUGAUACAUUAUGAACAAAUGUUGCAUUCUCAAUAAACUAACUGCUGACAGAGAGUCACAAAUCAAUGUUUUCUUUUGUGGUUAUACAUAUUUUCUUAAAGAAACUGUACAAUUCAUGAAGAAGCUCUGAGCUUACACAAAGUGUAUCUACGUGUGACUACACUGAUUCUAUUGAAUGUCUUUCUUUAAAGAUGUAUUUGAUCAAUUGUUGAUGUUGCUGUCUAAGAAGACAUGGAGUCAUUCUCUUGUCAACCAGUUCUUGAUACCUGAGGCUGUACGGAUAUUUAUUGAAAGGGGAAAAUGAAUGUUAGAUGAAGAUCCCGUGGUUUAGUGGGAGUUGGUCGUCUCCCAGAAGGUUGAGGGUUUUACUCAAGUGUCCUUGAGCAAGACAUUAAGCUCCAAAGUGAGUAAAUUAGUUAACACUUAUGAGUUCUUCAUGUAACAACCUCGAAUUAAGUCUGAGCAAGUAUUUGAGACGUGACCUGUAAGUGUCAUGUCAAUUGUUGUGGGGUCUCAUGGGAAUGCCAAUGGAAACCAAUGGUUUUUGCCACAGUGUUAACAGACAAAGGGUCCAUAUAAGACGAGAAAAGGGUCAAUAACUGACAACCCAAAGAGUUUUAACCAAUGAGUGACAAGUAUUUAAUACAGCCCGGUCAUUCUUAAGACCUUUACACAUUGAGAAUGUGAACAGAAACCAACGUUUUUGACACAGUGUCAACAGGCACACAUAUGUGGGGUCAAGAAAAGACAGGAAAUUGCCAGAUGGUCCUUUAAAGAAACAAAGGCCUCUAAAAAGGUGGAGUUUUGACCAAGUUAGGUAACCUCCAGCAGCCACCAUAUUGGAAAUGCUGACUAACACUAACUUUGUUGACCUAGCAUGUUGCGUCGUCGUCGUUUUCUUCCACUUCAUCCGGGUCCGGGUCACGGGGGCAGCAGCUUCAGGAGGGAAGCCCAGACGGCCCUCACCCUGGCCACUUGCGCCAGCUCCUCCGGGGGGAUUCCCAGGUGCUCCCAGGCCAGCCGAGAAAUAUAAUCCCUCCACCUGGUCCUGGGUUGGCCACGAGGUCUCCUGCUGUUGGAACAUGUCUGGAAAACCUCUAACAGGAGGCGUUCAGAAGGCAUCCUGACCAGAUGCCCGAGCCACCUCAGCUGACUCUUCUGGACGUGGAGGAGCAGCGGUUCUCCUCUGAGCGCCUCCCGAGUGUCUGAGCUCCUUACCCUAUCUCUAAGGCUGAGCCUGGACACUCUGCGGAGGAAACCCAUUUCCGCUUGUAUCCGUGAUUUUGUUCUUUCGGUCAUUACCCACAGUUCAUGGGCAUAGGUGAGAGUCGGCACGUAGAUUGACCGGUAAAUCGAGAGUUUCGCCUUACGGCUCAGCUCUUUCUUCACCACGACUGAUCGGUGUUGCGAACAAGCAGAAUUGAGGCAAACUUUCAGUCUCUCUGUAACCUUGAAAUCUUCCAAACUACAAGUUGGAGCAGGGAUGCGUUUGUCCACAGGGGGCGCCAAAAUCAACAGAAACCCACAUUUCUUCACAGAGGCUUUAAAACAAACAGUUCUGAAGCUUGGUUUUUCAGGGAAACAAAUACUGCACCUUUCCGAGUGUUAUUGCUCCCAUUUAUUUCUCCACUUUGAUAUUUUUUCCUUUCUUUUACUGAUGAAACUGCUUCAAGAGUGAGCGAGGUCAUCAUUGCACUUAAAUUCAAAUGUAAAAGCUUCAGAAAAACAGGGCCCAUUAUGCCACCGUGAUAAUUUCACCAAUUUUAUGUUCUCUCCCUCUGUCUUUCACAGUCACAUAGGUUACUGCUCUGACACACGCACACACACCCACGGACACACAGACCUCGGCCAAGUCAUAAUCUUUCUUACUGCAUCUAGCGAUAUGAGGAAAGCUGACUUUUCCACAUCAAGAUGAGAGGGGUGGGAGCAUUAUCAGCCCCAGAGAAAGAUAAGAGUGACGUUAUUGGGGCCAGGAGUCCUGCGUGCAAAAUCCAAAGGUCAUCCGAGCAUGACUUCACACCAUUCGACACAGAAACGCUGAAGGUCAGGGAGAUUGUUGCAGUAAUCUAUCCAUAAGAAUGACAACUGCACAUUUGGUUUCAUUCAGCAUGAUUUUGCAGUUUGUUUGCAAGAAAUGGCAUUUCAGAAAGCUCAAAUUGGUCCCAAAUUUCAUAAAUGCUUGGGCACUUUGUAAACUGUUGAUAAAAUUUAGUUUGCUAAUCAUUUUGGCUCUUUAAUUAACUGAAAAUAUUGAAAGGACAACAUAACAAACCAAAUUAUAUGAAGACAAAAGCGCUUUUUAGAUUUGACACCAUCGACAUUUUUCUAAACAGUCGAUACAAGGACAGCAAAACUCUAAAAAAGUUGUGAAAUACUUUCCCGGAUAAACCUUUGACCACAAUUUUGUUAAUUUGCCGUGACAUACCACAAGUUUGUAGCAUGUGCAGUAAAAAUUGCAUUCCAGCGAGACUGAGGCUGUUAGGAGCAAAAGAUGGGAAAAGACUCUCCACUCUGUGAGAGGCCGGGUGAGGGUCAACAACUCCAAUAGAAGGCUUCUGCAAAUACGGCUGCAAAGAAUUUGAGUAUUUCAUCAUUUUUAGCACAUAAUUUUAUAAAAAGAUCGAAAGAAUCUGGAGAAAUCUGUGUAUAAAAGAAGCACUGCAUUAAAAACAGACCUGUGGAAAUCUACGGAUUGGCUGUUUGGUGACACAUUCCCUCUCCCCCAAGUUUCAGACACCCAUAUGAGUUUAAUCCUUUUUCAUUCAUGUUAAAAAACUCCACACAGGAGCUUUAAAUCUCAGUUUUAAACAUCAUGGUGCAUUUUAUGAACAUUUUACACAGCAUACCAAUUUUGGGGGGAAUUGUGGCCGUAAUUCAGAGGGACUUUUCUCAGUCAAGAGGACAAAAUUACAACUACUAAGCAUCCAGAGAGGUGACCGAGGGAAUGAGAGAGGCAGGGACACUGUAAAAGUCCAGGCCACUGAACCCUGCUAGUAUCAAGUAGCAUAUUAAUUCUAGUGGAGCACCCGGGAUAAGUGGGGCCCCUGGGCACUACACACUCCGGAUAUAAUCAUGAAGCCUCUGCAGUCAAUAGCAUAAUAAAAUAUACAGUGUACAGUUAAGCUGUGAAAUGGAUGCGAACAAAUCCUGCAGCAAAGACAAUCAAGAAGAUGGGAAUUGCAGGGGUUUUAUAAGGUAAGCAGUUUAUUCAGCAUGUAGAUGAGGAAUCAGCAACACACAAGGCGUCUAUUUGGUCGGAAUUGAGAUGUGAUUUAAUUGAGCUACGCCAGUUUUUCAAGAAAUGAAAUUCCCAAAAUAACAUCAGUUCCAAUCAGAGCGUUUCUGUGUUAGACUCGCACAUCAAAAGCCCCAAUAUAAUCCGAAAAUAUCAUACAUUUUGUCCACUUUGUGUGCCUCCACAUCAGGCGUCUCGGCUGUGUUCUUUAGACUCACAGUAUGGGCCAUUUACUGUCUUAGUGCAGUUUGUUUUUGCAGCAUAGGUCAUUCAAAACAAAUAAAUAACUGCACUGAGAGGUCUGACAGUGCAGGGCGCCGUCCGCCUUCCAAGUGCGCUGUGCUGGGCUGCAGUUUGUCAGAAGUGAGAGUACAAUCUAAAAGCCUGCAGUUUGUGCUGGACAAACUGCACAUGUACUGUCUUACAAAUGGCACAAAAAGCACCGCGGCUUUCGCGGCUCAGAGAUGGAUAUUGGCAUGUCACAGCCAGCAGUUCCUCAUGUUUGAAAAGCUCGGAGGAAAAAUUAAUGGAGGGUAAAUGGAAGUCUGAACCAGUGAUCAUAUUCAGCUAUUUCUUUCCUGUGCUCUUAACUGUUCUGGGCAGCACAGUGAGUGAAAUACAAGCCAAUAAUUCCUGCCAAAGCCGGUUCAUGGUGGGUGUUGGACUCCACCAAGGCUGACCGGUGUUGCUUGAUCUGUUUGUGAUUUUCAUGGACAAAAUGUCUCGCCACAGCUUGAGGGGUGGAUAAGGUCCAGCUGGGUCCUGUUGGGAAAGUAAACGCAGGUCUGUUUGCAGAAUUGGCUUGAAACCAGCUGUUUGCGGUCAGAUAUAAAGGUACUAUAAGGAACUUUUGACAGUUUUUUUUACAUGUACUGAAAUUGACGCUGAUAUCUCCCUCUGACCAAUCAAAGCAAACCAGCCCAGUGAGUAGAAGAAUUAUGAUCUUAUUAGAAUGAAUUAUGAAUGUCAGGGGUGGGUGUCAGAUGAGGCAGGUAAAAGCAUGCUAGUUUUUUAAAAUUUUUCUAUUUACAAGAUUCAAUGUAAGGCAUGUACAGCUGUCCAAAUUAGGAGAAAGUGUCAUGUUCUAAAAUCAGUAAACACUACUUUUACAUGUAAAGGACAAGAAAAGAUAAGAAUGUACAAUUUUGAAAGAAAUUGAAUCAUUGGAAAUGUAAAGUUGUUAAAUGUUGAAUAUUACAAUGUUGGAAAAAAGUCAAAUUCCAAAAUGAUUUAAAUAUUCAAAUAACCUACCAAUAUUAAAUGUUUAGAAUGUUAAAAAAACUUGAAAAUGUUGCAUAAACUUAAAAAAAAAAUGACAAUAUUGAAUAUUAAAAAUGUGAAGUUUUGAAAAUUUAAAGUGUAAAAUGUUAAUACGUAAAAUGUUUUAAUGUGAAAAUGUUGGAUAAAUGUUAAAUAAAGUUACAAAGUAAAAUGUUUAAUUGUUGAAAUUUGAAAUGUAAAAUUUUAGAAUGUUAAAAUUUUAAAUGCUGAAUUGUAGACUGUUAGGUGUUAUAAAUGUAACCGUAAAGUGUGAAAAUGUUGAAAAAUGAUGAGAUAAAAAAUAAAUGUUUAAAUGUUAAAUUUUAAAUGUUGAAAUGGCCAUGUCAAAUGUGAAAAUGUUGGAAAAAUGUUACAUUAUGUUACAAGGUAAAAUGUUUAAUUGUUGAAAUUUGAAAUGUCAAAUUUUAGAAUGUUAAAAUAUUAAAUGCUGAACUGUAGAAUGUUAAGUGUUAUAAAUGUGACCGUAAAAUGUGAAAAUUUGUAAAUUUUCAAAUAAUGAGAUUAAAAUUUAAGUUUUUUUUUUUUUACUAAAAUUUUAAAUGUAUAAAUGUUAAAACUAAAAUGUUGAAAUGUUCAUGUCAAAAUGAAAAAAUAAAAAUUGUUAAAUAUUAUGAUUAUUGUUAAAUGGAUAGAAAUUAACAAAACAAAACAAAAAAAAAAAAAGCACAGGCCUGGAUAGCCCAAUUUCUGUACCAGAUGUGUGAGCAGGAGCAUUUUUCCCUUUAAAGUGUCAGUUUUGCAUUAUAAGGAUUAUUGUUAGCUUGAGUGACAGGUGAGUAUAUUAUAACAGUUAAUCUGGGGGCUAAAGGCCUACCUCUGCCCAGCUUGACCAAACGUGAAGUUGGGUUGGCGUUUGGAGUGACCCAUUCCCUGAUUGGUGCAUCGUUGACUGAAAUGUUCUGGACUCCUGUUUAAUAUUAGUAAUGGAGGUGAAACUCCAUAUCCUGGCUCGGCCCUCUUACCCUCUGCUGUGAUCAUGACCUUUAGAUACUGACCAAAGGGAUCAGGAACCAGCAGCUAAAAUGAGCUUCAUUCCCAGGGUGACCAUUAAGUACAGGGUAAGGAACUUAGAUGAAACUCAUUUACAUUGAAAUGACUCCAGUGUGUCCAGCUGGGAGUACACCCCGAGGCGGACCAAGAGCAAGGCUGAAGGGGAAAUAAAUCCCGCUUGGCUUCGGAUCACCUUGGGACCCUCGGGGAGGAGCUCAAGGAAAUGACACCCAGGCUAUUCUCCUUGGAUGGAUUCAUAAACCUCCGUUUUACAGACUCCGCUACCAAAACUUGGUCCGAUAAUGUUCCUGAAAAACCCGUUUUUUCCCUUUUAAGAGCUGCUGAUCAGACACUGUGUUCUCAAAUCAUGCAAAACACAUCUGGGGGCCUUUUUUCCCCCUGUGGUUCGAGCCGAAGAAAAACAACUCUAGGUACAAUCAAACCCUUGAGUACCCCUUUAGUCUGAUGCACCUCAUUCUUUAGGAGUCUUUAGUUCCUGGCCAUUACCUAUAACAUCCCGGCUUCAAGACAUUCGCUACACUGUGUGGCGCCAUUAGGGAGGAAAAGUUCUCCAAGGGCUGAAACCUCUCAUGGAUUUUCUCGGCGUCAUGUCCUAUGACCGGGCAUCUUGUCAGCUGAGCCUAAUCUGACAGGAUGCUAAUAGAUUGUCUAAUUAACAUAAUGUCCGACCAUUAGCAGUGGUUAACCUUUGACUCAUCGCACUGACAGGGAUAAUAGGAGUGGCGGCGAGAAGCCAUGGAUGCUAAUGCUCUGUGAACUCAUGUUAUUUACAAAUUAUUUCCACACUUCACACGGUCUGGGCGCCGAGAUUGAAGCAGUCGUGUCGUCAGACUUUUGGGGUGUAUUGUAUUGUUGGUAUCCAUGUCAUUUCAUCCAAUAAUACAGUUCUUAAGCUGUGCUAUCAGCUCGGGCCGCCUUAGAUGGCAGGAGCACAGAGCGGUCAAGCAGUCGUCAUUUCACCUCGCUGAACUUCUGCCGCCGUUUCACCCUCAGCGCUGAACCAAAUCCGACCACUUUCCACAGCCUUGAACACCACUUCCCUCCUCUUUGCAUGGACUCACACACAAACAUAUGCGCUGCGCCCUAGCCGCUGAUCCGUCAUGAUGUCUCCUUCCACCUCAUUUCCUCAGACCCCCGCUUCUUUCUAAUUGAGGCGGCGGCGAAUACAAUUAUGGUGAGAAUCAUCCCGCACUGAUGUGAGGACGGAUUAACCGGAUUAAGACGAUAAUCUGUUGACCCUCCGGCCCCGGCGCAGUAUGAGGCUGGGAAGGCAAUUUGAAGCAGAGAAGAAGAAGAGAUAGAGGGGGGGCUUUAAUGAGCGAACUGACGAAAGGCUCUGACCACUCUGAGGCUGGCCUGGCGUGCUGCCGAGGGAUUACUUUCUGCAAGAGUCCCCCCCCCCCAUAAUCUCACCUAACCCCUCACAUCCGCCCCACUGCCCACUGACUCGCUCCUCGUUAGAGAUGUUCAGGAACAGCCGCACGUCUCUGCUAAUAAAGGUUACAGCGUCACACAAAGAGCAGGAUUAAAGCUCAUGAUACCAGUGAAAAUGAAAGGUCUUUUAUAUUACACAAGUUUUCAACAGAUAAAGGUCCAGCAGAGGGUUUUGUUUGGGCUUUUCCUGCUUCCUGGAAAUCCACCUGCUGAUCUGAUUCUGAAAGAACAUUUCACAAUUAACCAAAAAAAAAAAAGGAAAAUUCACUUGGUUCUGCCGCUCCUACAGUGGAGGAUUGAGGGCACUAUAGGGAUAAAAUAUUUACAAAAAUAGAGUUUCAGAAGUACAAUAAAAACCAACAAAAAAAAGAUUCGAGAAAUAAAAGCAAAAAAGUUCUGAAUUUGCAAGAUUAAAGUCAUGUUAAAAAAGGAUUGAAGUCAUAAAUUGACAACAAUGCAGUAAAAAAAUUACCAUAUAAUUUUUUAUUGAAUUAUUUAUAUGAUUAAUAAGGUUAUAAUCAAUAAGUAAAAAAGAGUAGUGACAAAUGAAUAAAAUAAAAAACAAUUCAAAAAUGUGUAAGAUUUAUCUUAUGAUUAAAACAAUAAAAUAAUAAAAUAAGUAAUAUAAAUAAAAUUGGAGAGAUAAAAAUAAAUUUGAAAAAUAAAAUAGAUUUAAAAAAUUAGUAUUCAAAUAAUCAAUUAUAAAAAUAAAGCUAUUUGACACUAAAGAGAUUAAAAAAUAUAAAAUUAUAGUACAAUAAAUGAAUAAUGCUAAAUAAAUAAAAUAUGCAAUAAAAUGUAAAAUAUCAAGGGUGAAGUUAUAAAAUAACACGAUUAGAAAUGUGAAUGUAAGAGUACAGAUGUAAAACAUUUAAAGAGAAAGUUGUGAGUAAUUCACAUGAUAAUCAUUAAAUUGCUGGAGCAAAGCCGUACAUUGACAAGAUGUGAGUUAGACAAUAUAAAGAAUAAAACUUCAAAUUUGCCAGAAUGAUCCAAAGAGGUAACAAAUGCCUUUAUAUCACAUUUUGUUGUGAAAGAGUCACUUAAUGGGUUUAAAAACAAACUGUUUAUAGUUUUAAUUUACACUGUACUGACUGAAUACCUGUUUAAAGUUAGAUGAAUUACCUCACAUUAGGUGUAUAAGCUGCUCGAUCACAGCAGUUUUUACCUCUGUAAACACAGACAUGUGUUGGUUUACUGCAUGAGUAUAGAGGUUACAGCAGAUAAAUGACAAAGAGAUGCGUUUUAUCCUUUAUGUUUAAACAUUUUAUCACUGAAUAGAGAAUUUAGAGUCCUUAUUACAGCGUUAAAAGACAAAAUGAUGCCAUAAACCGUGUAAACAAAGGGGCUUUACUGCUCCUGUGUGACUGAGGAGCUGUGACCGUGUGUAAAAGUUACUUAUGAGGGCAGUUAGGAGAAAGUUGGCAGCGUCCAGUUGACAGUACAUCAAGUUUUUGCACAGAGUACACUCCAGCAGGGCGCUUUGUCCUUAUGGGAUUUUCUUAGCGUAAACCAUGAUGAGAGACUCCUCUUGAGUUCCUUUGUAAUAGUUAAAAUCAUUAGACAGUGAGUGGGAUUAUCUCCUCUCUUUUUGCAUGUAUCAAAUUUAUUCCUCCACGUGACCUGUCAGGUAUGUCUCCGCAGGAAAGCCUUUUAAUCCCACGGCUGUGAUAUAGUUGUUGAUCUGCAGCACUCUGGAUCAAUGGACUGAGAUUAAAAAUGAUGUUAAUGGAGGUUUGAUGGGUUUAAGUGAUGCUUUUGACGCAGGCUGCAAAUCAUCUUCACUUUUCGGAGGAAUGAAAGGCAGGAAUGAAAAGCUUUCUGUCUGAAUAAGACUUUCAUCCUUUGACAUCUGUCUUGUACUUUUUCGAUGAAUAGCAAGUGCUUAAAGUCCUUGCCUGACAAAAUUAAUAACACACGUACGCAUCGGCUGUUCUGUUGAAUGAUGACUCCUCAUUUCAUCAGUAUUCUCCGCUAUUUUGAGAGACAACAUUUCUGUAAUUGCAUCGCCUUGUUUGAUUAGACAUAAACACGGGGUUACACCUGGAACGCGACUGAAAAGAUUGUCCACUCUGAUGCCUGACAAGCUUAUUCACUUUUAUAUAACCUUCAGAUUCCCCCCCAAAAAUGUGCUCUAAAAUAAACACCAGACAGUUACAGGGCCACAUAGAUGCCACAAUAACUCUUGAGUAGCAUUCCUGACCAGUUUAAUUAAAUACAUGUCUGGCUUUCAAAACCAUUGCUUCAAUCCUCUUUUAGAUGAGCACAAAAAGUACCAAUAACAAGCCUUAUUUUUAGUUAACAUUAAAAAUGAAGUUUCAAAGGACUUUAAAAGAGCCCUUGACAAUGUCCCAGGGUACUGAAGGUUGUAAGAAAUGAGAAAAAUAUUAAUUGAUUUGUGCGGAGUUUCAUCUUGAAAGUGAAUCACUAUAAUAAAAGGUCUUUUGUGUCUGUAAAAAAGUAGUAAACAAUGACCAGCCUUCAUGAAAUAAAGUAAUAAAUUCCUUAUGUAUAACCACUCUUGUGGGAAAAAAAUAAAUUAAUGUGGAAUGAAGUUAAAACGAUGAAAGUAAAAGUUUUUGAUUUUGAGAUUAUAAUCAAUAUUAUGGGAAAAAUUAGAAAGAUGGUGGUCAUUCUGGAACCAAAAAGUCUAAUUCCUAGGAUGAAAAGUUAAAAUCACAAGACAGUAAAUUCUUACUGUGAAAUGUAGAGAGAAAAAUGUUAUAAAAUGCUGCUAUUUUUAGAUUUUGAAAGUUCUAAGGAAAUAGCCAUGACCCUGAAGUCAUGGACUCAGAAUUACUUUCAAAAGCCAAUGGCAAGAAACCAAUUGUUGCUGCACACAAAAAUACAGCUCAAAGCUGUACUACUCAAACAGCAGACCACAAAAAAAAAAAAAACAGUAUGAAAAAAUUCAGCAGAGAUACAGCAGAGAUAUAGUUGCAAAAACUUUUUUCAAGUGGUGGGCACAGCGUCCAAGAUUUCCAAAAAACUAUCAAAGUUAUGACAUCCUUUUUGGAGAUCUAGGAUGUAGUGUUAAUCACUAUAAAGAGGGACACUGUGUGCAGGAUUUCCAGAAUUAAUGUGAAAUCUGUUACAUUCAUUUUGGAAAUCUUGGACACUGUGCCCACCAUUCUAAAGAAGGGGACAUGGUAUCCAAGAUGUCCAAAAAAAUGAAUUCGACAUUGUUGUUGGAAAUCUCAGAUACUGUAUCCACCAAUCUAAAGAGAGAUGCAGAGUCCGAGGUUUAAAAAAAAAAAAAAGAAAAAAAGGUCUAAUUUAUGGCACUCUUUUUGGAAAUCUUGGACACUGUGCCCACCACUCUAAAGAAGGGGACAUGGUAUCCAAGAUGUCCAAAAAAAAAAAGGUCAUGAAUUUGACAUUUCCAGAAACAAUGUGAAAUCUAUGACAUUCAUUUUGGAAAUCUUGGACACUGUCCCCACUACUUUAAAGAAGAGGACAGGGUAUCCAAGAUUUCCAAAAAAACUCCAUUUGAUGUUGUCGUUGGAAUUCUCAGAUUCUCAGAUACUGUAUCCACCAAGCUAAAGAGUGAUGCAGUGUCCAAGAUUUCCCCAAAAAAGGUCUAAUUUAUGGCACUCUUUUUGGGAAUCUUGGACAUUGUGCCCACAACUCUGAAGAAGGGGACACAGUAUCCAAGACUUCCCAAAAAAUCAUGAAUUUGACAUUGUUGUUGGAAAUCUUGGAUACUUUAUACGCCACUCUAAAGAGAGAUAGAGUGUCCAAGAUUUCCAAAAGAAUAUUGAACCUCUGAAUUUCCUUUAUGGAAUCUUGGAUGCUGUGUUCACUACUCUAAAAAAAGGGGGACAGUGUCCAAGACUUCCAAAGAAAUCACCAAAUUAAUGGCUUUUUUUUUUUUUUUUUUUAAUCUUGGAUGCUGGGUCUAACACUCUUAACGGACACAGAGUUAAAUUUCUGAAUUUCCUUUUGGGAAUCUUGGAUGCUUUGUCCAUCACUCCAAAGAGGGAGGUAGCAUAUGGGCUUGCUUUCACAGUUUAAAAGCCAGCAAUUAGGAUAGUAUUGGGAUACAUCAGUGGCAUAGCAAGAGUAGUGUACACAUUACGACCUUGUGUAAAACAGCAAGACAAGACCAAACCACAUUCUGCAUAUAUGUUUCUAUAGUCAAAGAGUCCAGGUGUUAAACUGACCUGCCGGCUGUCCUAGUUUUUGUCACCUAUUUAAACAUUAUUUUUCAUUAUGAUGCAAUAAAAUCCAACAAAGGAGACCCCGAACUGUGAAGCAGCUUAUCGGGGAAUAAUAGGACAGUAUUUCACUUUCAGAACUCAAAUCUGGUCUCCCUGGUUCCCAAAUGUUUACAGACUGUUGUUAAAAGAAGAGGUGAUGCAACGCAGUGGUAAACAUGUCCCUGUCCCAACUGUUUUGCAACAUGAUGCUGGCAUCGGCUUUAAAAAUGAGUGUAUAUCUGUCAUAAACAAUAAUAUUUUUUAUGACACAUUAUUACGCAGGGAAGGAGGGCGAAAUCCUGCAAGUGUCUGGAGUAAAAGCCUAAAAUUAACUGACAAGAAAGAGUAUAUCCACUGGGAAUGUGUCUGCACACUGCCUCAAAAAGAGUUUCCAGUUGUACAAUAGUUCUUUUGAGUAUAACAUGAUUAUAAAGAAGACUGUUUCAACAGAAAAUCACAGAGCACUUUGCUUCAAACAAAUUUGCAGUAGUCGCAUAGCAAGACGGAAAGCCACCGCCAGCACUUCCCACAAGCAUCUGUUUGUAGCAGACAGUCCAAACACAAUUAGCCAAGGGAUUUGUAAUAGAUUUAUGUGAACAGAGGACCGCCGGGGAUAGAAACGUAGUGGGAACCAAGUCGACUCCAAGAUAUCAGCAGGCGCUCUUCAGAUUUGUUGUUUGGCCCAGCAGAAAGAUACAGCAGGUGUGACCGUGCGUUUCCCAGAGACAGGAAGACAAUGUGUUUGCUGUCUGUGAUUUUUAUUGCCGAGGGGUUCACUGAUUCCUCUAUCUGCCGUCCUUAUUGUGUGCUGAGUCAGGCUGCCGUCCUGGGGUUUUUCAAUCACAGACGCUUGUCUCACUACGCUGAAGAUAGCACUGAGUCACGCUGAUGUUUUCCACAGCAGCACUAAAUAUGAGCCAAUAAAGCAGACGGGCCCUUUAGGCAUCAGCCCACCCAAGUAGUUAAGACAACAUUGCUUCUUUUCUUCUUGUAUCUCUUCCAGAAACAUUAAAAAAGUUAAUUCCAAGCAAAAGAUGACAGUAAGCAUUAGCAUGAUGCUAAUUGCUAAGUGCGCUAAGUGUUUAUUUUCCAUGAUUAUUUGAUGGGCUCUGAUUUGUUCACGGUUUGCAGUCUUGAUCUCCUGAGAUCACAUCAGAUCAGCUUUCAUGUUUAUUUGAUGCAGGCGUCUUGUUUGCCAGCUGCCGUGAACCUACCCUGACUUUUCACCCAUAAUGUUUCUGUGUGGGCGUAUGAAAAAUGCAAUUGCCAUGUCAGGUUUUAUGUUUAUUUUUCUUCAUUGUUUCUCUAUAGUUGUUAUUCUCUACUAAGAUAUGUAUGAAUCCUAACAUAGCUCAACUGUGUUUGACCCAUAGACUGUAUAUACGAUGGAGAACUUGGUUCCGCCUUCCGCCAGUAUACGGAUUUGAAGCCGAAAAGCUCUUGGCAAUUCUGCGUUUUUUGUCCACUUCCUGAAACCAACAUUGCGCAGUAGAGUCGAGGUGAUGACCCCUGGCUCAAACAGCGUAUCCCCCCGGGUGAGCAACGUUCGUACACCCAUAGGCUUUACCAGGUGUCGAUCAUAGAAAACAUGAAUCCCCUAAUAACUUUUAAAAAUGGAGCUUCACAGAAAAAAGAGGACUUGAGCACAAACCAGUCUUACAAUAACCGCAUGUCAACAUCCCAACCAGGGGGGAGAAAAAUGUAUAUUCUAUGUAAUACAUUUCUAAAGUUUGUCCACAGCGCCAUAGGGAUUGCUGGAGGAGGCGGGAUUUAUGACCUAUACUGCAGCCCGCCACCAGAGGUUGCUGUUCUGACCAAAUAGUAGAGUUAUCUUGCGUCAAUAUUUACUGUAUAUAACUGUUGUGCAGCUUUAUGCUGAUGGUUUUGUUUGCUUUCGUAGGUCAUAAGGAGGCAUCAGCAUUAAUUUUAGUUCUUUUCAUAAUAAGCAAAAGAAAAUUCUCAAAGGAGCUUUAAGUUUUUGUCGUUUUUGUCUCGGCCUCCAUGGAUCUGCAUUAAAUAGUUUAUGGAUGACACUGGAGUGUUUUCUGGGUGUCAGUCCAUUAUGUGGCGCACCAGAAAAGAUCGUGUCAGCAGCAGAAUAUUUAAUGUCGAACCCCUGUGGAUUUUCAGAUCCUGCCUGUGGCUUGUUAAUGUCUCAGUUCGGGCUUCAUAAAGCGUCUCGCUGAGGUUGACAGUCUGACAGAGACGACCAUCUGGAAGUCCUCUCGACGCUGACGUGCAUUCAAUUUAUCUCCGUCUGCAUCACUUUGGACCAUUUACUGUAAACACAUAAUGUAAUUUUUCUGAAUCAACAGCGUUCCAGUGGUUCUGCUCUCUGUCAUCUGCUUCGACACAUUCACGCUCCACAUUAAUCAUAAUAAUCCUGCGUUUCUUUGUGGAAUAUAAAACGCCUUGUUGUCCAAGAAGCUGCUGAGAAAGGCGGAUUUAUUUGUUUUUCAACGCCCUCAAUUUCACCUAGUUUGGUCUUCUUUGCACCUGAAAGGAAAAUACUUAAACCUGAACAUUUUUGACGUUAUGGAAGUGCGUAGCUUACUGUGGUGCAAGGUUAAAGUGCAGUGUGUGACGUUUUAUCAAGGGAGCAGAUGAUUUGACAUGCAACCGCUUGCUCCUCACUUUGAGGGGGAAGAUAUGAAAACGUGCCAUUUCCUUUGGGGAGACGAGAGGAGAUGAGAGGAAACGUUAAUAUAUUUUGAAAGACAGAAACAAAGCAUGAUGGGAGCUUGCUAUAUCACAGGCCAGUAUACUCUACAUUUGAGUCAGAUCCCACAGGGAGUCGCAUGUAUGAGAUUUUCCUUUGAUAGCUUCUCCUGAAGUAGUAAAGUCACGUUAGAGGAGAGAAACUGUCACAUUUUCUUUGAGGAGAUUUCUAAUAAGUCUCCUUAAGGGAUAGUUUCAGUGUUUCGCAGUGAGGUUUAUGUGUUAGCCAAUAAAAAGUGUAGUACUCAAAGGAAAUGGAGCAGAUAACCCGCUCCAUUUGUGCAUCACAUCAGGCCUGUUUUCAUCAAACAUGGUUGAGAUUGACGACAUUCUGAGGAUUUGUUGUAUCUCUUUUGUAACUUUAUUUUUGUACCAGGCUGCAAAUAUAUUGCUGUAAAAAUGAACACACUGACAUGGGUCUCAAUGGGGUUUUUUGGCUUUUGGAGCCAGCCUCAAGUGGACAGUAGAGGAACUGCAGUUUUCAACAACUACACAUUGGCUUCCUCUUUAAAACCCACUUUAAUACAAAUCAAAACUGAAAAUUUAUGACUGACAAUUGAUGUUUAACUGACUUAAGAGAAGUACAAAAAUGUAGAAGUACCCAACAGAGUCACGGCUCACAAUCUGUUUCUUGUAAAUGUCACAAAUAGCACCCUGAAAAUGCACAGAUUGUGGUUAAAACACGUUAAUCUUGCAUGUGACAUCCUUCCAUGACCGCUAAUCAACCAUUUAAGCUUCAUACUGGCGUACGUCCAUCCUAACACAUUGAUAACACAGCAUGUAAAUGCAUUGACACACAAGGAUUGCUGCUCUUAAUAAGAGAUGUAUUUACAAUUCAGACAGGGGAAACAGAAACCUUUGUCUUAGAAAUGCGAUAUCCUCAACUUUCCAGCAUAUUCAACCAGCGUUUGUUCUUGUAGACAGUGUCCGUGACCUUUACAGUAUAGUUUGAGUAGUGGUAUUUACUCAAAUCAUCAUAUGCAAUGAUAAGAAGAUAUCUGAGUUACCUGAGCAAUGCAUAUAAGAUCCUUUGUGGUAUAAGCUGCCUGUGUAUUAAGCAUUAAAAGAUGACUAUAGACCACACAGUGUUGACAUUAAACAUUACAUUUUCUGUUUUCACAUUCUGCAAAGUGCCAGCCUCAGUCCUGGUGUGGGCGUUAUUUAAUUGGAGGUCAAACUUAAAGGCUGUAAAAUGUCAUUGCCACACUUGUACAGCGUUGUUGAGCCCUCUCACAGUAAUAAUAACCCGUAUUGUCACUCAUGGGUGAUGACUUAUUUCAGCUCCACAAAGACCACUACAGUGACUUAUCUAUGCAUAUGACUCCAGUGCCUCUCCUGCUCUUCAAGACAGCCAUUUAACUUGGUUGCUAAGGCAACAGACCGGCCCGGGUGACAGCGGUGAUGACAGAGCAAUCGCUGACAGACUAACUUCAAGACAGGCCACAAGUUCUUCCACUGCCGCUAAACGCUUAGUCUCUUUUUUCGCAGAGUACAAAGGGAGCGGGAUUAUGCAACACUUUGCAACAGUGAAGUGGCGUCCAUCCGAGUGACAUGUCGGCUGGGAAAUGGACGGUGCUUUUUAGAUACCAUCAGACACACACUGACAGCAGUUAUUAUGUUAUUGCUUAUUAAGAGUAAGUGGAAAAUGAGUCUUUAAAAGCAAAGUAAUGAUGCAAAUUAUAGUUUUAUGCCGGCACAUGUGCAUUUACGACUCUAAAAACAUGACAAGGGGACACACUGAGUAAUUAAACUGUCAAUUUAAACAUCACCGUCUUGACAUUAAUGUUAUAUAGAAGCAGCCGGUAUAUGCAACAUGUGACAUGAAAACCUCUGAAAGCAACUUUUCUGUUGAUUCUAGUCCCCUUGUGGACAAACUGGGACAUUGUGAAGUGGUUUUAAAUAGUCGAUCACAGCAUGAAAAUGUUGACAAAGACUGUUUUGGUCAUAUUUAGUUUAUCAAAACAUCAUACAAACCAAAAUGAUCCAAUCCAAUCCAAUCCGCUUUGUUUAUAUAGCACAUUUACAAAAACAUUCAAGUCUACCAAAGUGCUAAAAGAAUAGACAAUGCUGAAAACAUCAAGAUGAAAUAAAUAAAUAAAAGCAGGUAAAAAACAUUUAAAAUGAAAUAAAAUAAAGGAAAUAAUACACAAAAGCAUUAAAGAAAGAAAAUUGAUAAAAGGACAGUAAAAGACAUUAAAGGAUGGAGAUCACACAACUGUCAUGCUGAGCUAAAAGCCAAGGAAUAAAAAUGAGUUUUAAGACGUGAUUUAAAAGUAAAAAUGUUUUAAUCUCGAGUGGCAAUUUGUUCCAUAAUUUGGGAGCCACAGCGUUGAAAACUCGGUCGCAACGGGUUUUUAAAAUGAAUUCUUUAAUGGACGGGAAGCCAAUGGAGGGACGCAAAAUUAGUUCCACAAGGAGGAACAAAAUGGUCUCUAAGUUAAACUGAAUUCAGCUGGAUCUAAACCCCCCCUUGACUUCACAGCACAUGGUUUGCUCCAGGCUUCAAGAGGUUUGUCCACCCUUGACCACACCCUCUGCUAGACCAGGAAGUGCCACAGCCAGGUAACUCAAAGACAAAGACAUGAAGAUUAAUGUCACUGAAGUGUGUGUCUGAUCUUACAUGUUAGCACUGAAUUUAACCAGAUAAAGAUCAUAAACUCAAAAUAAGCUAAAACUAAACAUCACACCUCAGACACUUGAGUCUUACUUAACUCCACACCUAACUGUACACUUCAUGUCCCGGUGUUUCACACAGCAGCUGGGUUGUUCUAAACUACAAGGUUUUCUUACACUUUAUACCCGAGUGCUAAAGGGCAGGUAGACUGUGAACAUAUCAAGGCAGACAGAAAAGGAAAGAAAACAUGAUCUUUGUUAUCCUGACGAGUAAAUGAGCAGCGCUGUUGGAUCUCUUUAAGGCAUAAAUUGGCCUUCAUGCCACCUGGGAGCCAACUGACACCUAAGAAACAGAGAAUUCACACGUGUAUUUGUAUAUGAUCACACCAUCCAGAACAGGUGAAAGAAAAUAGAUGAAGUGACACAUCUGCUUUGGAAAAUAUCAUACUUUAUAUUUAAAAGUGACAGUUUAGGCUGUGUAAUUCAAUCAGAGGGAAAAUAAUCCACCUGUAUUCAUCUCGUUUAAUCCAAUCUUCUACUGUGGUGGUGCUAGGCAGACAAUAACAGGAUACAUUUUCCAGACCUGGCCUCAUUGGGAAACAUAGCUGCACUCCAUUUGCACCAAUCACAGUUUUCUAUGAGACAGUUUGACACAAAUUGCACAAAUCUGCUGCUCACUUCUUGGUGGCUGUUAUGCAGGUUGUGACUUCUCCUUAUCUGGCCCUUGUUACCUACAUUGCACCAGCCUGCAAGGUGGCCAGAGGGAAGUACAGGCCUCCUGAUAUGAGUCCGUGGUGUGCUCAGAUUAUGGGUCAAGUUAUGAGCUGGAAAACAAGUUAUUGUUGUGUGAAAAUCAAACCCAGAGAAGGGCCUUAAAGAUUAGUCGAUUUUUUUCCUCUGAGUUUUCGUCAUCAAAGUUGUGACUCCAUCGACGUCGAUAUCCACUGUCGUUUCCUCGGAUAAAUGCGUCCGUGUUCAAAUUAAGCACUUCACUGUAACACUAACACAAUGUAUUGAAAUGAAAGGUUUUGUCGAAUUAAAAAAUGACAUCUGUGGCACAAAUGUUCAAAUUCGACAAAAUUUACUGUCAAAGGACGUAAGAGUGCUGUGAAGACUGUUGCUUCUAAAAAAAGGAACCGAUACACCAUGAUAUGUUGGCAUAUUUGUUUGCAUAAAGAGCUUUAUUUUCCCUCAGAAAGAAAGAUUGAUACUCGCCUAGAACUAUAUCAACGCCUGAGUCACUAUCUAUUGAAGAUCUCUCGCUGUUAUGUUAAGUUGAAGGACAGUAACUAUGGCGAACCAUUAGAGUAAAGAGAAACGAGUAUGAGCAAUUAAACUUCAAAAACACUGCUCUGGUCGCGCUUAUUUGUGUGACUUUUCACUGAUAUAGUGAUUGGUUGCUAAGUAGCUGGCUAACUUGCUUGUGAGGACUGGGUGGUACCUGACAAAAUUUGUUGUCAUGACACAAGUCCUCAAGAGUGUGUCUUUUUUUAUGCAAAUCUUGCUUUAAGAAAGCGCCAUGUUUAGUUAGUGUCGACACUGUAAAGAUGUGUUGUGAAUAAUAACCGACUGAUAUCAACGUCUGAGCAGAUCUGUUGAUGUUUGAUAUAUAAUGGUUAUUGUUGGUGUUUGCAUUUGACAAAAUACAACAACUUAUUAAAACUAAAAAAAAUAAAAAAUAAAAAAGCUGAACUUGAGUGAAAUCCUUCUCUGGUGAUAUCUAUCGGCUGUGGUCUGAUGCUGACAUGAGGCUGAUUAUGUCAAAAUACUGUCUUCUAACCUUCCUCCUGUGUUAGCUUUUACUACACACCCACUAUAUUAAUGGGUCGGUUUUGACCCGUGUCUUAAAUCAGCUGUUAAUUACACUAAAAACAAUUCUCUACCAUCCAAUUUGGUUCUUAUCUCUAGGUUACCUUGUUCGGCUUCAUUAUCCAUGAAAAUAUUGCUGAUAAUAUUUUUUGUUGUGGGCCUCUGGGUCUUUCUUUGUCAGUAUACCUCCUCACACAGACAUCUAUACUUAGAUGAUCUCACAUGUCUAGACAUGCCCGAUGUUGUUUGUUGUGCAGGGAAAAACAGCAAAAUGAGAAUCCCCUAAAUCUCACAUGAUUGGAAGAGGAUCUGACUGUCCGUGUGGCGCCUGUCAGUGCACUUAUGAUUUCAGUUUUAGCUCUAAUCAUUAGACAUUGAUCUAACCGGUUUAACAGCGACCCUAACACAACAAGUGCCAUAAUUUUAAUAAGAGCAUUUUAUAAUUUAGUCAGUUUCAUUUUUUUAUUUUCAUUUUGUUGAAAUAGAGGUUCCUGACAAAGUCAAAAAGUCAGGAGGAGGAGGAGGGUUAAACAGCCAACGAAUAAAUCAGUCUCUCUAGUUGUGAAGCUCAAAAAUAGUGAUCACUAUAUUUUUCAUCAGGCCAAUAAUGGGUUUGAUAUUAGUGUAAAUAUUGGUGUUUUAAUAUGGCGUCUAAUAAGGUUAACUUUGGUUUUGGAGCCGGCCCCUCGUGGACUUCUGUAUUGGCUUUAUCUACUUCGUAUUUGUCAACUGAGGAAAUGUUAAACUGAAUAUUAUUAAUAUUCGGAGGUGAAUUUUGACGUGCCUGACUAUACACAUCAAGCCGGAUGCGACUUUUCAGGGGGAAAAAAGACGCGUCCUGUGGGUGGAAGCGAGAAGACUGACACAACAGCAGACUGAGUGUUUUUCAGUUCUGUUCAGACCCUAGUGUUGAGAUGUCUGUCUGUCAUGAUAGCAUGUACUGAGUCGGGGUCAGUACCAGAUAAGCACAUUAAACUAUAAUCCAUAAACGUAAGGUAACAACAGAGACCUAAUGGUGCUGUGACAGCAACACUGUGAUUGAGUUUGAGACAGUGAAAAUACAUAUGGUAUGUUGUAUCUGAACAGGUUAGCUUACGAGCUAAAGUUACUUAGCACAGAUGAAAGUUAAAACAAAGACGUUUAUCAAACUGUUAAAGCUCACAAACCAUCGUCAGAUGAGAAAUCCGACGCUAUGACUCUCCACAAGUCGUCCUUCAGGUCGUUAUCUUUGUAAUAUUUGUGUUUUUUAUCAAAAAUCACUCUGUUCUCCGACAUGUAAACAAUCAGCCGGUCGGCCAUGUUGGAUAUACCGGUGAAUCUGAUGUCACAACCACACGAAAUCUGAUUGGUCAGAAGUGGACACACAGUAUGUGAAACUUUGGCAAAAUCGACCAUGAUCCGAAAAAUUGCUUGUAUUGACAGGAUACGGGUUCGAAAAAAAAAUAUUGACGUCUGAAAUAAUAGCACGAAAAAAAAAAAACGGUCCCGGUGUGGAAGGACCUUAAGUGGGGUUAGGUUAAUUGGCCACUUUCAAAUUGCCCGUAGGUGUGAAUGUGAGCGUGGACGGUUGUUCGUCUCUAUCUGUCAGCCCUGCGAUGAACUGGCGACUUGUCCAGGGUGUCCUUUGCCUUCGCCCAAAGAUGCUGGGAUGGAUGGAUGGAUGGAAUUCCUGUCAUUGUUGAACUAGGGUCAAUGGAUGGGCAUCUUAAUUCAUGGUAACUUAAGGCACAUUUCAGAGACAGUUUAAAAAAGACCCUCAUUGUCAGACUCAAAUACCACCUUUUGUCCAAAAAUAUCCCCCUAAACUUUGAGAGAUGUUUUCAUUAUCCAAAUAAAGCCCUGCGAAUCAUCCUGUUAGUCUUCACUCCCCCCCCCCCCCUCCUUUUGCUUUCCCACAGCUUCCAAUAGUCAGCCUCGGAGAGGAGUGAUGCUGGGGGGGCUCCUCAGCGCAGAGCAGUCGCAAGGUGCACGAGCGUGCUGAAGCGGGAGCGCGCGCAUAGGAAGGAAGCGAAGGAAGGAGCUGAGGCAGUUUCAGUCGCCAGCGGAGCUCGACACAGCGGAUGAACGGGGCCGAGCGUGUGUGUCGCCCUUGUCGUUUUUUACAGCAGCGGAAAGCAGCGUCCGGCAGCGCGAAACCUGCCCGAAAAUGAUGCUCAAACUCGUCCACCUCCUCGGGGUGCUGGUCUGCGGCAGCCAAGGUAAGAGAGCCGGCGUGCAUCUUUUGAACCCCUCGGGCUUGGUGACUUUGUGGACAAGUUGAGUGUUAUUUUUUUGCCAUCGUGAUCUGCAGCAGGCUGAGAAAGCUGGUGGAGAGAGAGAGAGAUGUAGUCUGUGUGUGUGUUAGAGAGAGAGAGAGAGAGAGAGAGAGGGCUUGUUUAAGUGGACGUUAUUUUGUAGUUGAAGCACGUCUUGCAGGGGCCAGAAUGCUUUCUAACUGAAAAGGGGGAUUAUGAUGGGGUCCUUUUUAGGGUGGGCGAGCUGUUGAGAUACACUCAGUGCGAUGCUAAUCGGAGAGAAAAAACUGUUACCUGCUUUAUUUGACGUGUUAAAGCCUCAAUGUUGAGUUUUUAUCUUUUGGAGCGAGCUAUCAUCACAAAAAGAGUCGGCUCUCCUCCUGAAGCGAUGAUGUUUUCUCACUCAAACUACAUGAAGACAUUAAUGACAAUUCACACGAGCUCGGACCACCGCCUUUCUUGUCUCAUCUUCUCUAUAUGUUGACGUUUGCAGUGUUGGGAAUGAACAUAACGGUGAAUUCAGCGGUGAAAUCUCCCCCUGAAGGUGUGAAUGUUGACACCGGGCCUAUUUUACCAACAUAAAGUCUGAAAUUCUUCGAAAAGUUUGGACAUUUUCGCCGCAUUAGUGACACUCAAGCGUUAAUUGAGUCUCGUGCGCGCGGUGCACCUGAUCUAGAGAGCCCCCCCCUCGCGCGUGUGUGUAGGUGUGUGUGUGUGUGUUUUCGAUGCACGCGCGCAGACAGAUAAAGCUGUUCCUUGAGUGACGCGUGCACACACUCGCCUUUGCCCCCUGCCUGUUUUUCUCUCCCCCUCUCUCCCUUCCCUCGAGUCUGCUUCUUAACUGUGUCCUGGUCAGUGAUGCGCGGCGCCGUGUCACCGCAGGCUUGAGCCUGACGUGCACUGCGAAAAAUAUACCCAACUCCUGUAGCUUCAGAUUUAGUAGUAAUCCGUCUCUUGAAGCGAGAAAGAUUUGCUUGCAGGAUGUGAGUGUUUUAUCUUCCUCGGUGGCAGCGUUCAGGCUUUAAAAGCUGGCUUCUGUAUUUAAAAAAAAAAAAAAAGAAAAACACGCAACAAGUUCAUUUGCAUCAAGGAUUACACGGGUUAUCUUAAUGCCCUUGGCGAGAUUUUGCUACUCCUUAAAGGGAGGAAAAACAAGCUCUCAAGACAGGAUGAGUUGUUAGUUGACACUUUUUGCAGUGUGGCCACACUUGGAUCCUUGCACACAACGGCAGGUGGGGGUAGAGCGCUGCAAAGUGCUGCCAAGAGUGAAGCCACUGGUCGUUAGAGGAUGUUGAUCUCAUAUCUCACGCAGAAUGGACGCCUCUAGGGUCCCCGAGUGGGAGUAAAAGGGGGUCCUGAGGAGGUUUCGAAGAGUCCCUGAGGAAAAAUGGAGUAUCAGAGAUACAUUUUAUGAGACAUUAGUAUGAUUCCAGUUCAAGGAGGUGUAAAAAUGACUAUGAAUUUUAAUAACAGAUCCCACUGAUGCCACUUAGGUUUAAUUCUCACUCUUGUUGGAGGGAAAGUUUAAUGAAAUCCAUAUUUUAAAGUACUGCCUUGCCAAGUCUUAGGAAGAGACUGAUGAUCAAACUGCACAUGCUGUAAUCUGUGUUUAUUUUGUCGUUCCUCUAAUGGAAACUAGCAGUGUGCUCAUUCAUGAGGGGAGGGCAUCCAUCUGCCCCCCUGGUGCUCAUGUACCUAAAAUAGAAGCUGUGGAAGUGCCCAGCUCAGUGCCCCUGAAGUAGAGAAAAGAUGAUAAAAUACUUUCUCUGGAUGCCUUUACAGUGGAAAACAGAAAAAAUCCCUUAGGUUAAGAAAUGUAAAAAACAAAAAAAACAAAACAGUGUCCUCUGGAUGCCCUUCCAGUGGUUAAAACAUAAAAAGGACCAAUUACAUGCUCUACUACUUAAUAAAAAGUGCCCUCUGGAUGCACUUACAGUGAAUUAAACUUAAAAAAAAGUUUCCUUUUAGAUGUUCAAGCAAAUAAAUUUUCACUCUGGUUGCCAUUCCAGUGAUACCUUUUUCCUGUUGAUACCUUUCUAGUAAAUGAAAAGGCCCCUGGAUGCCCUUACAGUAGAGGAAAUGUAAAUAAACACUGAGUAAUUAAUUAAAUAAGUACCUACAGAUGCCUUUCCAAAGUCUUUUCCCUUCUCUACAUGCUCCUCUAGAAAAGAAAAGUGACUUCUGAAUGCCCUUCCAGCAAAUGUAACAUAAAAAUGCCCUCUGGAUGCACCUACAGUGAAUUCAACCUAAAAAAAAGUUCCCUUUAGAUGUUCAAGCAAAUAAAUUUUCACUCUGGUUGCCAUUCCAGUAAUAUCUUAAAAAUGGACCCUACCUUUCUAGUAAAUAAAAAGGCCCCUGGAUGCCCUUACAGUAAAAGAAGUGUAAAUAAACACUGAAUAAUUAAUUAAAUAAGAACCUGCAAAUGCCUUUCCAAAGUCUUUUCCCUACUCUGCAUGCUUCUCUAGUAAAUAAAAAGUGACUUCUGAAUGCCCUUCCAGCAAAUGCAACAUGAAAAUUGCUCACUGGAUGCCCUUCUUGUAAAUAAGAAUUAAAACAGAGACCUCUGGAUGAAGAGAAUACAACAAGAAAUGGCCUCCUGGAUGCCCUAAAUAAAUAGUACCCUCAGGAUACCCUAUGAUUAUAUUUUACUGAGCAUAUUUCCCAUAAUAUACACCCCUUAAAUGAGUAAAGUGUCAAAAAACUGGAAAAAGUGCCCUUCUUGUAAACCAAAUACAAAAAAAUGCCCUUCUGGAUACUCUCCCGUUUAUAAAAAUGUUUCCCUUGGUAACUUUUAGUGAAGAAUUUGAUAAUUUCUAAAGUAUGUUGAAAUGAAUGCUGUCGGUAUUUGGGAUUUAAAAACUAUUACUAUCUGUUGCCUUCAUGUUCAUUUUUGCCCUGAUUGCCCCUCCAAACUUUUUAGCUGGCUCUAAUAUUCGUACAGGAUUUAAAUAAACCAGUGAGAGAGACCAAAAACUAAAGUGCUUACAAAGUUUGUUAAAUGCUGCUUUCUAGUGUACUGCAGGGGCCCCUUUUCUUCUGCCCCUGGCCCUCAAACAGCCUGUGCACACCACUGUUGGAAACAGCAGAAUAGACUCAAUGUCAAGAUCUACGUCACACUGGAGUGAGAUGUCUGCAGGUUCAGCAUUUUAGGAGAGGGUUUGUCGCUCACAGGGGGUUCAUAUUUCCAACAUUUCAAUCAAUACAGAGCUAGAAACUGUUGUUAUGAUAGAGUGGGUUUUUUUACUAUUACAUUUCACCGCACUGAGGUAGAACAAAGAGGCCAUACUGCUCGUAUAAGCGAAUAUUCAACGCUUGUUACUUUCUUUCUGUUGCAGUUGUGUUACAUCACCCAGCCGACCAAUUUCCAUUCUUAUCAUGCUUUUUCAUGAUAGCAAAGUCCACACAAAUUGACCUAUUAGACAAUGCAGAGGAGCCGCUGUAAUGUGAGUAAUGAGGCCAGCUCUGUGCUGAAGGGUACGUGCAGGAGCCGGAGUAAGACGCUCAAUUCUCUGUGAUUUUUAUCAAUGUGGGGCCUUGGAGGGAAAGGGCGAGAACCACGGAAAAGGGUUUCACUCGUUUCCACGGAUUCAUGUCAACGAGGCGCCCCGGCUCCCACCACAUUAACUCUGCACAUAUCCUCCUCUGUUUCCCCCCCUCUGGCUCCUGAAGGAAAACAUUUGCUUUUGAAGUCCCCUGUUCGCCGUGUAACCUCCUAAAGUAUGCAUCCUUGAAGGUUUAUGUAUUUGGCUUCCACCGAUGCUGAGUACAAUGAAUUAUAUGCUUGCUCGAGCUCACCCGGGACUCACCAAUGUGAUGUUAAGUGGCGUAAUUAAGAUAUUUCGCUGUAUCUCUAGGGGGAAAUGUCACUGGCUCAGGGUUUUAAAAGAUUUAUGCCCCUGUGCUUAAGUGUCUCUCAUUGCACCCUGAGCCUAGGCUUAAGCAUGUCUUUGAGGUUUGCUUACAUCCUGUACUGCCGGUUUACGGACACGCUCACAUGACUGAGCAUAAAUUUAGGGGUGCACACUCUCCCCCCCACACACACGCUGUACACAGCCUGCAACUACACGAAUGAAUCAGCAGGUUAAUAUUUAUGAAGGCUGCCGAGCUGAUUCCUUUUGCAGAAUUUCCCCAACACAAGUCUUGCAAAUUUUGACCCGAAAAGCUCCUUCUUCUCUGCUGAUAACUUCACACGGGUACAAUCCUGCUCAACACCAAUCACACUCUCACAUUAAAGACAUGCAAAGCUGUUCGCAGAAAGAAAUGGUCUGUGUCCUGGUCCUGCAAGGUGAAAUUGAUUGCAUUAUUUGAUUAAUAGACUCGGAUGGAGAGCGCACAUAUAGAGAGCCAGUGUGUAUAUGAAAAUGGAAUCGGCCCCUCGAGGCAGCCGGAUAUGAGAAAUCAAUUUAAGGAACGACUGGAGUCAGCAGGCCCUCUGAAUUGUACAAAGGGCAAUCUCAGUGUUGUGGGUAUGCUAUUUAUUUGCCUGGGAGCUUUUGAUUUCUCAUGCAUGCCCUUUAACACCCCGGCUGCCAGACUUUGCAUUGAAUUUGGGCGCUGCACAUAUGACAAGAGGAUUGUGUUGCGCUUUGAACACCUGGAUACGCGAGGAAAGGGCCUCCAAACAUCUGUGCUGCAGGGUUGUUGUCAGCGUAUGAUGGAUGAAACAGCAGACUGAAAGGAAACAAGGAGUCCGUGUAAGGUACUUUUAAACUCUACCUGCUCGUGUCCUUCAGUAUCUUCCAGAGCGAACAUCUAUUUAAUGACUGAUGAGUACACUGUGUGACAAAAGUCCGCUCUAAUGAUUAGCUCCUGUGGAUCAAAGAAACUCAUAGAUUUUGCCUUCAAAUAGCCUUAUCAUCUUAACGUAACCAGGCAACAAAUGACUGGAUGGGUCCCCGGAGGCCAAAGUUGUUUGAUCUUGUUGGAAAGUUAAUCAAGUGGCUAUAAGUACGAGACUAAAAUCUAAAGACUACAAUAAUCACGGGGAGGCUUCAAACAACCACAAGCGCUUAAAAGAAAACAACAAAGAGACGCAUGAUGGCUAAAAAAGCUGGGGCAAAAAAUUUACAAAACAUCAGAGAGUUUAAACCAAACAGAAAGAGAUGCAACAUUAGUAUAAAAAAAACAAUAAAAACACAGAUUCAGACAAAACAGAAACUAUAGAUAGAAACAGCUACAAAGGCUUAUAAACAUUUACAUAAACUAUGAAAUUGUAAACAAAAACAAAGAGACUUUAGGUAAUCCUCAGGCCAAAACAAUCACAUUUGUUGAUACACAAAAACAAAGGUAGAAAAAACACCAAAAAAUUUGUUUAAAACAACAAUAGAGUUUUUGAUGCAAACAAAACAAACAAAAGAUCAAAUACAUUAUCAUAACAGAGACAAAAUCAGACAAAAACAAGAGCAGAGACAGGAAGCAACAGUAAAACAGCUUAUAAAGACUCACAAGGAGAUUCAAAGUGUAGAAACAUAAACAAACGUACAAACAAUAAAAAAGACUUUAACUGCCCCAAUCAUAAAUAAUCAUAAGUUGACUAAAAACAACUUUAAAAAGUGACCAAAAAAGAAAAAAAAGGCAGGUUGUAAAGAAAAAAACAUUAUCGAAUUAUACCAAAACGAUUACAGGUUGACUAAAAACGACAACAAAGAGAAACAGAAAACAACUUUAAAGGGAUUCAGACGCAAAUGAUCAAUGGCAAUGAUCAGUCACACUAUGGUUUAAAUUGUAAACAAAAGACAUACUUAUAGUAGAGCUACUCAAAAACAACAAAGGGACCGUGAAGAAAUGUAACCAGAAAAAGACAAAAACAGCAACAAAGAGACACAAAAUGACUCGAGGACAACAAAACAUCUUCAAAGGAAUCUAAAAACAAAAACAAAAAAGAGGCUUAAAUAACAUCGAAGAGAUAAAAACAUUCAGAAAAAAAGACAGAAAACAGCAACAAAGAGUUCAUAAAGAAACCCAAAAACAUGAUUCGAACUAUAAACAAAAACCAUAUCAAAGAGCGCCUAGAGUGAAAUAUUAGACGUGAAUAACUCCUUGGACCAAAACAUCGACAUAAUGACAAAAAAUGAUCACAAAGAAGCAUUAAACAACCCAAAGACAGACAGGUAACAACAAUAAAGAGACACAAAACAACCAAGAACUGGCUGCAGAGUGACUCUUUUUUACAGAAAUCAAGUGUAACAACCACAGAGACAGAAAGUAAAAGGACUUUGAAGGACCACUUAUCCUGCCUAGAAAGACAGCGGUUUUAUUUGUGAACACCUAGAAGGCCGUUUGCUUAGCUUCUCUUUUGGGAAGUUGCAAGGUCAACCUAAGUGCAGUACCUUGACAAAAAUGAACUGCCUUGCCCAAGGGCGGCUUGAAAGGCUUGACGGCGAGCUGUACAGUCAUCAGCUCACAUCUCGGUAAACAGGAUUAGUGCGAGGGAUUACAAGAACUGAGCAGCAGAUAUAUUCAUACUUGAGACAUGUUUCUGAGGAUUUUGAGGAGAAAUUUAGGUUUUUUCAAGCUGCAUAAGCAGUAAGAGAUGCUGAAAAUAGAUUAGCUGAAAAAGUGUUUCUUUCAUGUUUAGAUGAAGUUAAAAAGCAGGAUGUUCUGAAUCUGUUUAUUGUCACUCAAAUUAUCUCCAACUUUGGACAUUUCCAGGGUGGAGUUAGAUUUGUCCAGAGGGUUGAAGGAAGGAAGAGAUAAUGUUUAAAAUUCAUUCAAUUCAAGUGAAUCUGAUUGCAUCCGGUUAAAUUGCAUUGCCCGAGAUUGAAUCAAACUGUGCGGCGUUACACUGCGCCAAAAUUAAUAAAAUGUGAUUGAAUCCUGUCGGGAUGGAAUCAAAUUAGGCCGGAGUGACGUGAUGGGAGGAGGCAGCUGCUGCAUGUUUCCCUGUGCGCUCCUGUGGGCUUCCUCUACUGUUUUACAUCCGUUUGGUGCUCGCCAAGCCGCUCACCCUUUGGCUCCUGCUUUUAUGUGUCCUGCCAGUCUAAAUGCCAGUCUAACUAGCGGGCUAAUAGGCAGAGCCAGGGUGCCAGGGCCACAACAGAAUCAGUGGGCACGCUGGCUGACUGACAGAUGGAUGGAUAGAAGUGGUAGAAAGGUCCUCUUUCCAUCACUGUUGCUCAUUUUUUAGCUUAAGCGCGGCGCGAACACACUCGCACACUUCACAGCAGGUUCUCCAAAAGCUCGCCCCCUCACGGGACGCUGCAGUGUCGGUCUGGGGCUUACUUUUGGGUUCGGGCACCGGUAGGCAUGAUUAAAUGAAGAACAGAGGCAUCAGAGAAAUGGCAGAGGAGCUUCAGAUGCGCUCCAGUUUGGGCGGUACGGUUUUCAGUGACCCACUUAGGUGGGAUUUUAUAACUCCCCUGAAGCGUGGAGGUUUGCCUCGCUGUGGCCUGAUGUAAAUCACAAGCGGACAUAUGUAGGCAUAUGCAGUAUGUGUGCUUGUCCUGUUCUUGUUUUUUAUUGGCUUUAGAAAACCACAGUUGAUACGGUCUCAGCUGUUUUUGAAACAUUUUCAUUCUUAAAAGUGUCCAAAUGCGGUAUUAGGUGUAUUGCAUUACCUUGGAAAAUUGCACCUUUGUUGGAAGAGGUUUGCUUUUUUGACUCGAUAGUUUGACUUGAUAGUUUGAAUACUGAAAACACAGACUUGUGGCAACCAUAACUCAUUUACAUUACCCCGUUUGGUUCUAUUUUUGGUAAUAUAAGUAAUCUGUAAUAUAAGUUGUUAUAAAAAUGGCACAUUAUCCAAAUUCAACAAUGACAGAGCAGGUUGGUGGACAGCUGAAAUAUAAUGCUGAUAUCACAUUUUUGUUUUUUUCCUUUUUUUUUCAUUUAACAAAACAUUUCAUAUUUAAGGAGGCAGAUUUUACAUCAAAUGGGUCAUUAGGGAAGAGGAAAACUGGUUUUCAUGUAGAAAAGAUGAGAGUCAAUAUCAAUAUGAUGCCAUCUAUCGGCCUGAUUAAUCAGCCAAACCAUUAAUCUCCAAUUUAAUCUUCUAUAGUCCAAAAUAUUGUCAAAGACAGAGACCAGUGCAGGAUGGCUUUGAUAUUCUGAAUUAAAAAAGGCAUGUCUCUGUAUUGGAAGUCACUGCAUCAGCUAAAGAUUACCCCCAAAAAUCACUAGUUGAGAAGAAAAAAUGCACCAUGCCAAAAGGAAACCAUUUAUGAACGUGGGCCUGAAUCUCUUUGGACUUCUCUGAUCCCAGACAUCUUGUUCAAAAGCCAAAAUUCAGUUCCAUCAACUUUUACAAACUUUUUUAUCCUCAGCACUUAAUGUCUGUGUUUCUACUUUGUUGUUUGUCAUACUUAGAGCAACUUCUGCAGUGAACUUGUUAAUUGGCGCAGCAACAACUUCACGUCUCAGCUUACCUACAUGCACAAAAUCAGACGCGCCUUUUCCUGCACCUGCCGAAAACAUUACACCUUAAAAACGUGAUAAUUCUUUUUUGACACAAACGUCUCAAUAUCUCAGUUGUCAGUCACUCCUAUUAUCUUUGGAAACACCUUCUGCAGGAGGAUGUUGACGAGUGAAUAUCGCUGAGGUGUUUGUGAUGAUCGCGUCGGUUAGCGUGCAUAAACUAUCACAAAUCUUGCCAAUCAAUUCCCCAAACUUUCCUUCACAAAAUAGUUGCCAUUUGUUCAAGAAAAUAAAAGGUUAUAUUGUGCAAAAGAGGCAAGAAAUCUUUGCUCAUAUCAGACUGAAAUUAGGAUGAGCAGUGAAUUGGUGCAGACAUCCCUCCUGAAAGAGACUUCACAGCAGAUGCACCCACAAAAAUAAUAAAACCCUCUUUAUGAGUCCUCAUUAAACAAGCCUUUUUGUGGGGGCAGACUGAUGCACUGCAGCAGGUGAAGUACAGUGGACGAGCGCCAACACGCUGACAGAUGAAAUUUGGCCUCAGACGGCAGAGAGACGGACAUAGACGGAUGACAGGACGGGGUGGCCUCGUGACAGAUUUACAGACAGCUGAAUGUGCGAACGUUGAGACGCAGAUAGAGCCAUAAUGAAGAGGAGCUUUCUAUUGACAGCCAAGCGGCGACAUUUUUCAGCUCCUUCCUGCUGGAUGUGGGCCCCUCGUCGAUGGAGGAUUAGUUAGUGCUAUCCCACAGAGGCAGCUGAAUGUCUGUACAGUCCAUCACAGUGAUUAAGAAAGGGGACUCAUGCUAAUUGUUGCCAGACUGGGUUGGCAGACGCUAAUGAGGUAGUGGCACAGGAUUUGGAAACACCUAUCAGAGGAAUGAGAUGCUCCGUUAAAGGGAUAUUCCAGCGUAAAAUUAAUUUAGGGUCAAACACACUGUAACACAAAGUUAGACACCCCGUCGAGAGAUGAAUGUUGCCGACCGCUUGCUUCUCUAGUUAUACCAACUUUAGUAACGACCGCACGAUAGCAAUACACAGUGAUCUGAGGAGCCAUAAACAAACCUCAAUCAAAACGCCACUCUAUAGCCACAAAUAAUGCUCAGAACAGCACCUAACUUCAUCAACAGGACAUGUAGGGUCCCAGCCAUAGCACUAGCUACCUCAUCUACUCUCUUCCAGCAGCCGCUUGUUUGUAUCGAGACCUCAGGCCAGUUCAUUACGAACUACAGCGGGGUGACGCAGCUCAAGGAAGAACAUUUAUGAUCAUUUCUUCAUCAAACUGAGACGCCAAGGCAGAAGAACUACCGCAUCUACAAUGCAAAAUGAUUAAUAUAGUGAUUAUUACAUCAAGGAUAUGAUAAAGAAAUUAUCAUAAAUGUUCUUCCUUGAGCUGUGUCACCCCCCUGUAGUCUGUAAUGGACUGGUCUGAGGUCUCGCUUCAAACAAGCGGCUGCUGGAAGAGAGUAGGUGAGUUGUGUUUAGUCUCUUUGCUAAAGAAAUCAGGCAAAGUUAAAAAGAUGUUUGGUGGCUAGUACUAUGGCUGUGACCCUAUAUGUCCUGUUGAUGAAGUUAGGUGCUGUUCUGAGCAUUAUUUGGCGUUUUGGUUGAGGUUUGUUUAUGGCUCCUCAGACCGCUGUGUAUUGCUAUUGUGCGGUUGCCACUAAAGUUGGUAUAACUAGAGAAGCAAGCGGCUGGCAACAUUCAUCUCUCGACGGGGUCUCUAACUUUGUGUUACGGUGUGUUUGACCCUAUGCCGGAAUAUCCCUUUAAUUAUAUCACAUGGGCUUCUCCAUCAAAUUAAAAACAGUCUGAGAAGAUUAUUUGGAUAUAACUAACUUUGUCCUGUUGCUUUCGGUUAUUCCUUGUUUGUAUGGGGAAGACGUCUUUGUUAAAAACAGAGGCGUUUGAACAGUUCUGCAAAACUACAACCCCAGAGCAGGACAUUCAGCUCUACUUUGGUCUCCAGGUAACAGAAAUCUUCUCGAAAAUGUAUUCAAAAUGAACAACCAGUACUUGUGCUCUAAUGGGAAUAAUAAGCACCAAGUGUUAAUACCCAUCCCAUUAUGCCCUCGCUCCUACAUUUUCCUCUAAUGCUCCCCAUUAUUCAAGUAAGAAUUUGGACAAAGAGGCAGCAAGAGCUUCUGCAACCCUCUUAGUUUUCAAGUUGGCAACCUCUUGAUGAGGACAUCUCAACAAUAAACUCCCCUUUAUGCUAACUCUCGAAAACCUACAUGCGAAAAGAAAGAACAGUAAGAUGAGUCUGUGGAAGGUGUUGGAAAGAGGGCAACAUAGAGUGGGCUGCAGGGAAGUACUGGAUGUCCUUGGUCACUUAUCCAAAUUGCCAAUCUCUCCUAGAGGCUUCCAUAUUGCCGGAUAAUUGGUGAUCAGCUCUGAGAUUGACUUGUGAUUGAAAGUGGCAUGAAAUAAGUUAAUACCGAGUCAGGAUGACAAAGGUCUCGGGCUGCUCCCUGUAAAUGUAGAUGUUGUGAUUACAAAGUCAGCAGGUUUCCCCCUCCCCAAGGCCAUCAGCGCUAACUUGUUUAAAGCUUAAAUUAACUUAGAUCAGCCAGAAGAGCACUGAUUGAACCUGAAAACUAUUCUGUCCCACUAAACUGAAUGCUUUGAACCCGUCUCUCUGCUGGCUGGCAUCGAAUGCUGCUCAUUCUUUCCUCUGCUGGUCUUGCUAUUCAAAUUUCCCUUUGGGCCUACUGUAUUAAAUUAUCCUCCGCUGUAUUGUGCUGUAGUGUAUCCAUCAUGUUUCCUUGUACCCAUUCAUUCAUCCAUCCAUCCAUUCAGACACCGGGGCCCUUGGCUUGUCAUCUCUGCUGGUUAAUUAGCCCAAAUUGUGAUUGAUGGACUCCCUGGUGAAUAGCUUGUGGUCCUGUUGCUGACCCGCCCAAGGAGAUCAACCUACCUGCCAAUCACUCCUCACAAUAGUCUCAUGAACAAGCGGCUAGGACAGAGAGCGUGAGACAAGGCUUGUACCCUGACCCCAUCCAGCUGAUAUUUCCAAGAAUUAGGUGACAUGAGGUGGUCCGGUUCUGGGGGAAACGGUCCUUCUUGUAAAUGAUGAAGGGAUGAUCACGGAAAGGGAUCAGCUCUCUCAGAUUUCUCGUCUUGUGGUUGAUAUCUUGUUUACGUGGAGGCAGUUCUUGAUGGGGAAAAGAUGAGAGGGAAAGACAAGGAGGAAGGACACUUGAGAUGUGGUCCGGGUACGGCAGAGUAGCUCAAAGCAAGGCCAAACCGGUUCUGCUUUCCUGAUUGCCUCUCCGUGCCAGACAAUCUUCAAACAGAAUCUGGUAAUGCAAUGUGGGCCAGCUUAUUUUUGUUCCUAUGACUCUUCCCUUCCACUUUUUUCCCCCUCUUUCAUUUCCUCCUCUUUUCAUGUGCUCGCCGUGUUUCGUGGUCCUCCCACACGAGUCUCAUCACCAGCGUCUGUGGGGGGAAGAUAUCCAGUUCUCCCCUACGUGGGAAGCCUUUCAAGCAGGGCCCAUGCUUAAUGCUAUUUGCUCGGGAAGCUAAUGAUGUUUGUUGUUCUCGUGCUCAAUAUAGUUAUAACCACCUAUGGAUUUUAUGUUACUCGACUCACUUCUAGGCUCGGGAAUCUUCAACUAAAGAUGUUUCGAGGUUGCUCCGUCAAGCAGGUUAUUAACUCUCAAAAGCCUAAUGAUCGUUCUGCAAGCGCUCAUCAGGCAAAUUGUAGGCGUGUUUUUAAUUACUCUGUACGUAGUCAUAACUUCCCAUCAUUCCCAGCCUAAAGCAAGCCUCCUGGGGUUUUUGUUCACCCGCCCAAAGGUGUGCUCUUCCAAGGAGAUUCGUCAAGCAUGUUAUUCAGAAAAUUAGUUGUUGACUGACAUGCCAGGUGACAUUUUGUCCUCGAAUGCAAGUCGAAGACAAUUGUAACUACUAUAACCAUCUUCAUACUCACUUUCUACAUUAGUCACCAAUGAGGGAUUCUUCAAACCCGUAUCUCACUGUAAACUUUCUCUAAUUAGGUGGUGUUCAUGUUGUUUGCGCCUCUCUGAGAAGAAGAAAGAGUGUUUCUGGAGGAAAGGAGAUUUGCGGGACCAGUGCCAGCGUCGGCCGUCCUUUCAUGUGGAUGUAUACGCUUCAGGAAAUGAGUCAUGAGAGAGCCGUGUGAUCACAUGGAUUCACACAUGCUUUUUUUUCCAGCCGGUUGAUAUAGUCUAAUUGUAAUGAACAUCAUAGGGACUAGAUAAUCCUCCGCCUGCAUCUCUCGUACAGCAGCUUCAGACCAAUAUGUGUCUGUUCUGUUGACAGUAAUCAUCAGCAGUUCAUUUCACAGUUAUACAAAUAACACGACUUUUACGACGCCAGGCUCGCUUUUUAUUGACAAAUCUCAUCGUUUCAAAAUUUAGAGCCCGAGAUAUAAAGCUUUCCCGUUAUGUCCUAUACAUUUACUGUCGCACACACUCUCUCUCUGUCCCUCAACAGCUUAAUGAUAGACUGCUGUGUCUUCAUCACUUUGUCAACAGCAGUGCAAACCAGGGAUGUGCCAAUAUACGAUUUAAUCGUGAUAUGCGAUAUUAAACGGCCGCGAUGAUGAAAUCGUAGAGUACUGUAAUAAUUGUUCCACAGUUAUAAUUUAAAGACGAGUGGGGAGGCGAGUGAAGCUGAGUACUUACCAACCUAACCCUCUUGUAGUAACAAAAUGUACAAACAAACCACCACAAAAGUAGUCCGAAAUCCAAAAAACUCUCCAAUUAAGUACAUUAAUGCCAGCCUGACAAAAACGGGAACAUUGAAAGAGAAAUGAAGACAUUUUAAAAACAAAAUGCGUGGCCACCCACAAUGCAUUGCGGCCACCUAAAGCACUGUUGGAGCGUGUCCACUCUGUGAACCAGAAACAGACUGAAGAAGAAAAAAAAAGUUGACGCACACGUUUCAACUUCCAGCCAACGUAACGAUGCAGCCGGACCAAGAACAGUCAGAGACUGAGAAUGACGAAACGCCUCAACUAUAUCCUCCUAUUAAAAAGGUUUUGUUGGCAGUACGGACGUUUUACGGCUUCACAAAACAGACGGAGCAGGUCAACCUGACACCAAUCUGCAGGUUAUGCUGUACGGAAGUUGCAGCGCCGUUGUCUAACAUAUCAAACCUACGUGCCCACCUCCGUGAACACCAUCCAGCAUUGUUCGCCCAAAGUUUGGUCUACUCUACUGCUUAUUAUUGACAACGAUGGUGACGUUUCUGCUAACUUUAGCUCCAAAAAGCUCAUGCUCCCAACGCCGCGUUACCUGCCUCUUGCUCAUAUUGUCUGUAGAGAAGUGAUUUCGCAGUUUUUAAUUUUUAAUUUAAUAACGUUAAAAGCAAUGCGCUAAUAUCGUGAUAAUAUCGUGAAUCAUGAUAUUUUGGGCCACCAAUAUCGUGAUAUCAAAUUUUUCAUAUCAGCACAUGCCUAGUGCAAACUAUCAGGUAGCAACAGGUGGAGAGAGGAAAACAGGGAGAGGAGCAGGAGGAGGCGGAUGUGCGUCUGAAAAGCCAAAGGACAGAAUGAGCUCGGAGGGGGGUGACGAUGUUUGUGCAAAAGUGUUUCUCGAGAAAAUCUUGAAGGGAGAUUUGUAGAAGCAUCGCCAUUGUUUGGCCGUCCUUUCACGGGAAUGUGUACGCUCCAGGAUAUGAGUCAUACGAGAGCCGCGUGAUCACAUGAAUUCACAAGUGUUUGAUAUUGACUAAUCCACAGCUUUUAUGAAAGGAGAGACUGUUUGUGAUCAGAUACGACGCUUCGUCUGCUGAAAAGAAAAAGAUGAAUUUAGGAGUUUCUGCCCAGUGUGGGAAUCCCAAACAGCAGGUUCCCCGUCAUAAAACUCUCAUGCAUGAAAUCCUUAUUAUUGUGCAUUUACUUGAACAAGACGUCAUCGGAGAGCCAGAUUAGAUUUCUCAGCAAGCCAUGUUGUGAGAGCAGAGUGUGUUCCAGGCUAGCUAAAGUCUGUAUAUUGCUCCGAGAGAGCCAAAUUACUUUUAUUUCACGCUGCUUUUCAUCCAUCCUGUUGAGUCCAGAGUAGGCGACCACAGAAAUGAUAGAUCGUCUCGGCACUCGAGGCGAAAGCACCCGCCGCGGACGUGGAGAAACAUUACAAUUCGGCUCCUCAGUCAAUAAGCAACAAGAAUCUUUGCUGGAAGCUGCUGCAAAAAAUUGGGGGGAGGACAGGAGGAGCGGGGUGGGGGUGGAUGCUGUACCGGCUCUGGCAGCUCUCUCCCCAAGGAGGCGGCCUGAGCCACAAAUUAAUAGAGCGCUCCCACAUGAUCGGCGAGUUUCAUUUGGAACCGUCACGCUACAUAAAGCCCCACAGAAAUGAGGAGUUCGCUGAGGUCCCCCCUCCACUUCCCCAAGAGUCCCCGAGUAACCUGUGUGAUUGUAACACUCGGCCCCGCUGGUCCCCCCCCCCGCCACCUGUGCGCCUCCCUCCUUGAACAUCACGGAGAAGGCUUUGCUCCAGCUCACCCUGCUUCAAUUACCCAAACCCUAUUGUUCCUUUUUCUGCACCCUUUCAAAGUGAAUCAUACAAACCCUGCCGCCCCUUUAGGUUUCAAGCUCUAAUAAACAGCGGCAUCCCAAAAAUACUACAACAACACAAGCACAGUGAUGAAUAUUUCAAGCUGAAAGUUCCUGCGAAGAACCCGGAGAAAGUUAAAGUGCUUAAAGAUUGAAACCAAUGGAAGAUAUUUGACUCUAAUCUCAGCGCCCUGAUUUAUUGGCUUACAGCACAUCUUAACAUUCCUGCUUAUUUUCCCCCCCUCUUCCACACAGAAUCUCACAGACACUCAUUUGACAACAGCGUGAAAUUCUUAGUGACAAAUGUGGAGAGUGCUGCGCCCCUGAGGCCCGCUCGACUCUUAUCAUUAUCUUUGCAAUGCCUGAGAUUAGACACAGCAACCAACUCUCUCACAACAGCAAGCCUGCGAGCGAGGAUUAACACAAUGACUAAUCACUCAACUCACUGGACACAAAACAUACGCGACUGAUUCAUAAUUUCCCACAAAGUCGACUUAUUAAAAAUUGGCGCCGAAUAUUUGCUCGUGGCGAAACAUCGUAUACAAAUAAUAUAUUGAGAGGAAAUUACCAAAUCGUCUUUUUGUGUCAGAGAAACAAUUUCGACAAAAGCAGUUCUGGGAAAGAUUCCUACUACGGUAUCAGAGGUUGUUGGGGAAUGUCAAAGAGCCGUUUUGAAGACAUGAAAUCAAUAUGAAAUGUCAAACCAAUCGAAGACGGGCUGAGUACAUGUGAAUGUAUUUAAUGUGUACAUGAGGGAGGCUCAUAUCUUCCAUGGAGCGGUCUUCAUUUAUUCAUGGAUUCCUGGAUGGUGAUGUUAGUCUGGCAGCUCCGGGAUGAUUCGUACAACAUGGUAUUAAGACAGAAAAGACAUGAGGAUUACAAGAGGAAAGUUGUUCGAUGGUACAAGAGAAAUACUGGUUAUUUGGGUCACAUGUUAGAGGGAUAACCAGCAGCUGGUCCCCUGCUAAUAUAUGAGGAAGACGUUGCAUCUAACUGUCAUCUAAUUGCAUCAACUGUCUGCUCUUCUGUAAAACAGGCCAACUGUUUACCACUACGAUGGCUUUACUAUAACUUAAUUUUUACAGAUUACAACUAUUUCCUUCAUAUACAACCUCACCCUUGUGACGUUAUAUAAAGUCUCAACGUUUCAACCUUCGGUCCAUGAAUCUUCAGCUUGAAUCUCCUAACAUGAAAAGUUUGUUCUCGAAAUAUUCAGACUUUUGUAUCCUUGUAACAUUAUCACAUUUAUUCUUUUAAUUUUACGACUUUUUUUGACCAAUUUUUUUUAAUUUUUAUGCCUUUUGUACGACAUUGUUCUCCUUACAGUAUUAAAGUAAUUAGGACUUUGUUAUGACUUUUCUCCCCCAACAUAAAGCUCAUCCUGGAAAUAUUAUGAAUAUAUCGACGUUAUUUUUGUAACUUUACGACAUCUUAACUCUUAACAUUCAGACUCAUUUCUCUCAAUUAUAAUCUGUACUUUACUGUUUAUAUUUAGUUUUCGUAGUAUGACUUUUUUUGUCUUACAGCUUCAUUCUUGUAAAAUGCGAACUUCAAUUUUUAUUAGCCUUAUUCUGAAAACAUUAAGACUUUAAUUUUGUAGUAUCAUGACUUUUAUAUUUUAUAUAUAAUAUUACUUGACAAUAAAUAUAAAUUUAUAUUAAUAAAUAUAAACUUAAGUAUUAAUAUUAAGUUCAAUAUUAUUUUAAUAAUAUUAUAUUUAUAUUUAGUUUUCGUAGUAUGACUUUCUUUGAGUUAGAGUUUCAUUCUUGUAAAAUGUGAACUUCAAUUUUUUAUAGCCUUAUUCUGAAAACAUUAAAACUUAAAUUUUGUAGUAUCAUGACUUUUAUUUUUAAAAUCUUAUAGAUUUCAUAGAUUGACAAUUGAAAUAAAAUCUUUUAACCCUUUGUCGGCCUUCUUGGUAACCCUUUAACCUUUACCUAAAGUCAUCUAUGUUAGCAUUGGUCUCUUUAAACGCCAAUGAGGUCAAGAUAGCCAAGCAUAUCUUAACCUUGGAUUUUAUCUUCGUAACAAAACCCACGGUCCUGAGGACGCGUAACUAAGCCUGGGAGUAAAUCACUCUCAAUCAAUUUUAAUUCGCUAAAGUUUAAGAACGAGGUUUGUAGUUGCUUCUCUUGACUUACAGACCCAGCCUCUAGUGGACGUUUGAGGAACUGCUUUUUUUGUAACUUCCUCGUUGCCCUGUUCUUUGCAAGACAUGAUUUUUAAGUGACAUUUGAUUACUGGCGACUAAAGAUGUAGUGUAUAUAUAUAAAGCCAUUCGUAGGAAAGCAGGUUAAAUGUACGCUACACCCACUCCCUGGUAAAGUCUGCGGGGAUAAAUGGACAAUUAUGCAGGCGGAAGUUUCCAAAGUCCUAAAAAAUAGAAACAUUAUCUUGUUUCUGCCCUUGGUCUGUUAGCCAAGCUCAGUUUUGCACUUGAAAAAAGGAGAGAAAAGUACGCCCACUGAGUGAAAUCUCCAACAAAAGUAUCUGGAAGGUCUGCUGCGUAAUGGCGGGACCUUUCCCUCCGAUAUUCUCUCCACGUGUGCGAACAAAUGAGCCUAAACUGAAGUGAACUUGUUUCCUUGAGUGUGACCGUGUCUGAUGAAAUCUUCCCAGCAGUGACAUGAAAAAGAAAAAGAAAACAAUUCAACACUUUGAAGUUAGUUCUGUGUUGUUUGCCAGAGAUACAGUACAGCGUAACAAUUUUCCCCAGCACCCCAGGCUGGCACUAUUGAUCCAGUGUCUCGGAGUGUUGCAAACAAUUUUGCGUUUCUCUUUUCUCUCUCGCUUUGUUCCUCCUCUUUCCAAGAAUGAGAAUCUGUUAGCUUCCUGAAUACUGAUCCUGGCUCUGUGUGUUCCCGCGACCCGAGGUGCUGUCGAGAAACCUGAGUGCAGGAAAAGGGUCAUCAUUUUGAAAGACGCCGUUAUCGACUCAGCGAGAAAUACUUAUUUUUUUUAAAGAUCGCACCAAUGAAUGAUGUUCUUUGUCAUCUCCGACAGAAGUAAGGUCGAGAUAAGGACCGUUUCUUCGUGCUUUGAGGAAAAAAAGGGCGAUUGUUGUUACCUAACUUAACCCUUUUUACAGGAUUCCCUUGAGUGCGCUUGUUCCCCUUUAUCGUUUUAACGGUAGCCCCGUUUUAGCUCAGCCCUUACGUAACCGCUCCCUGAGAAAACCGGAAACACAAAGACAAAGUCGCUUACAGUAUCCUUGGGUACUCCGCCGCCCCCUCAAACAAAACCAUUAGUUAUGUGGAGAGGUUGCAGCGUUCACUUGUGAUGGAGCGCACAGGGGCCUCAGGUGACGCAUGGCCCGGGCUUUGGCAGAUCCUGUGUCACUCCAAGGUUGUUUAAUGGUUGCCUUUAUUCCCCCCUCCUGUUAUAGAUUUGCGGGACGUGACUGUGAAGCCUCAGCACCUGCAUCCCUCCUUUUAUGCGUGCGUGUGAGCGGAGGAUUCGAGCUGAUCCGACGCUCAUACGUCUUUCUGCUGUGAAAUCUGGCGCCAUAUGUGUGUAAAUCAAAUCUGAUUCUUGCAAAGAGCUGCUAAAGUGGAAAAUGAGUUAUAAGGGGGAUGGAUUGUGUGUUUGCGGGCGCAUUUAUUUCAGGGUUUUGCUUACUCUUUGAUUUCUCCUGUUUUGGGUUCUGCCCCCUUUCUAGCUCAAGGCUCGGAGCGUUGAGUGAAGAUGCAGCACCCGUAUCUGGCUGCAUCAGCAAAACUUUAUGCAAAACAUAACACACAAACACACAGGAUGAUGCACAAACACACACACACACACACUUCGGAUGUUCCUAGAAUCCCAGAGCCCCUGCAACGCGGCUUGAAAUCUUAAGAUAAUUGCAUAAAUUUUCAACCACAACUCCACAACAGAUGGAGUGAAUUUUUUAUAAAGAUACAAUUUUAUGGUUUGCAACUUAUUUACAGCCUGUAUUUGAUUAAAAACUGUAGAAAGACAAUAUAUAAAAUGUUGACUAUUAAGUUUUGAAGCCCACAAACAGUCUUUGUUGUCAUUUUUGUGUCAUUAUGUACCAUAGUAUGUGCCAGGACUCUUCCACUACAGAGCCAUGCUGUAAGGAUUUGUGUAUUGUCAUAAUAUUUAAGAUUCUGAGAAUAAGUUUGGUUGUUCCUCUCGUCUAUACUGUGUCCAUGAUUUCCAAAACGAAUGUCAUAUUUUCAUUUUUCAUACCUCGAGACAGUUUUCCACUUAGCAAGUCAAGAGCUGUCGUUAGCAUCUUUACAUCAUGUUAAUUAAUGGCUUUACAUGAUAAAGUUCCAAUCAGUUUUUUUGGAUGCAGCAACAAAUGGGAUUUUGAGCUGAUGCGGUGACUUCUACUACAGAGUCAUGUCUGUUUUAGUUUCAGUUAUGGGCCUUUUUUAUACAGAGACUUCUCCAGCUUCUCUGUAUCUUUAAAAAUAUUUCGUACUCUAGAUGAUGAAAUACCCAAAUUCUUUUGCAAUUUUAUGUGAAGAAACUUUUUAUUUUUUUAAAUUGAUGCACUAUUUACCCACCUGACACCAGUAAUUGUUUUUCUUUGCAUGGUAAAGUUUAAGCUAGCAUGUGUUGCUACAGGAACAAACUGUCCUGACAGGACAGGUUUUUGGAAGUGAUUUUGAGCUGAUGCGGUGACUUCUGCUACAGUCAUGUCAGUUUUAGGACCAGUUAUGGGCGUUUUGUAAAGAUAUUCCUCUAGCUUCUCUGUAUCUUUAAAAAUAUUUUGUAUAGUAGAUGAUGAAGUCCCCAAAUUUUUAGCAACUUUAUGUGAAGGACCUUUUUUUUAAUGCUUCACUAUUUACUUACCUGUCUAUUCAAGAUAAGAACAGAGAUUAGGGUUUUUUUAAGUUGUACACUGAUAAGAAGCCAAACGAUAACGAGGCAUCCAUGAUUUCUAAAAAUUAUAUCACCAGUAUUUGUUUUUCUUUGCUUGGUGAAGUUUUAGCUAGCUAUCCUGACUGGACAGGUUUUUGGAAGUGAUUUUGAGCCGAUGCGGUGACUUCUACUACAGAGUCAUGUCUGUUUUCAACUCACUACUACUUCAGGGCCUAAAGAUGAGGCCCGUCAACUAUCUGUUGUAGGUCUUGUUCCUUUUUGACUUGAUUCUCUGCGUCUUUUAAUGACAGUAAAUCUAAUUAAUGAUGAUUUUAACUCUAAUUAGUGAACUGUUAACUCACACGGUCUCUCAUUGAUUAGAACCUAUUCCCAUUUUUACUUCUCAGAGACUCUGCCUCUCAGGGAAGCUCUUUUUGUAUCCAGUUAACUCUUAUGAAAAAUGAGUCGGUGAAUCCCUGAGUCCCUAAAUUCGGCUUGAAAUCUUGACAUAAUUGCCAAAGUUUUAAUUUAAUGUUCAACCAUGCGAUGUGUGUUCCCCGUUAAGGGGAUAAGCAGAGGGGAAAAUUCCAGCGUGGACUCAAAAUCAGGACCUCCCGGCUCGCCCCCUGAUUAUUGUCCAAUCAUAAUCUCUCUUGGCGGGAUCCCCACUUGAGCGAGUGAUCAUGAGAAGGCCCGAUAGUCUAUCAGCAGCACAGAGGGAGGGAGAUGCACUCAGUGUGCCCCACGCUCAACAUGCUCAGCCAUCUGCGGCGCCUCCGAGCUGCAGAACUCCCGCAGCUUUUUUUUGGAAGAAGUUGCAGGAAAUGUGCGAGGGAUAAAAAUUGAAAAACGAGUGCCAGGCGAGGUCAGCAGAACACUUGCCGCUGAGCUGGAUGCAACAUGUAAAUGUCUGGAUAAAUAAAAUCAGCACUUGUCUUCUUUCUCGUGUCUGUGGCGCAAAGUAAGAAUCAAUUAGAGCAUUUCGGGAUCCCAGAGUAAUCCUGGAUGCUCUGAAGCAGUCACCGAGUGAUUUGAUAUGCUGAUUAUCUGACAGCAUGUGCUGGGCUUGUGCAAAAAAAGGGAGGUGUGAAGCGCAGAUCGGCAUGAACCCUCACAAAGCUGCUUGACAUCAUAGCAGCGGGAGAAAUCAGCUGCUCCCACCUCUGCACGAGCUGUAAGUCGCUUUGAAUUUCACCCUCGGCUCGCUCUUGACACCUAUCUUGUAAUGCUAUUUCACCCGCUGCUGUUUGUUGGAGACACCGUCUGCAUGCCAUGAUAUCCAACCUCCACCUCCUGAAGCUCACAUCAAACCCAGCUUCACUCUGCUCGGCCUCAUGAGGGAAUCCAUCAAAUUGGAAGUUUGUGUCUAACAGGGCUGCAGAAAGCCAAAAAAUAAAAAAAGGGUCAGGUUUUUCCUGGAGAAAAUCUGAUUGCUGCAGAAAUUCAUGUGCUCCAACCGCAGGAACCCACUCCGCUCUGUUCGGUCGACCCUAAAUAAACACAUAUUUGCUCAUUUUACGCAAGUGAGAGUCAUGCUAAGCAGCUCCGCGUCAGUGCGUGUGGGGCAGAGAGAGUGGCUAUUGUUUGCCACGCACGGCGGCCGAUGCUAUCAGCGCUAAUCAACUGACUGGGUUAUUGUGCCGGGAGCUGCCGGAGGAAACAGACUGCUCUGUAUGAACCUCUGGGGGGGCAGUUAGAGGGUUCAGGGUUUAUGACGACGUGCAUAUGUGCUCAUCAGGUGUUCUCGUUGCUGCGCUCCGUAUCACGAGGGAAGGGAACUGUUAGGAUGAUGACCUUGUUAGCUGCAGAGAGGCUCAGUGUGGGUGUUUGAACACCAGGCCUGAGGCUGUUACAAACAAUGGCUUUCAUUAUACAUGAAUCUGAUACUAAUGAAGUGAUUAUUGGUUUGUUUGUUGGAGAAAUCAUUUCAAGCUCAAAUGUGUUUUGAUGUAGAACAGAAAAAGUAUUGAAUUUUCUACCCUGAAGGGCUGAAACUUGUUGCGGUUCGCACAUUUUGAGCCAAAGGCCUUUAGUGAUUUUGUCAAGAGCAGAACUAUUAAGUGCUUACUUUUCAAAUCAUUAUGAACUGCAGAGUUUGAGUAACCGAUAGCUUGUAUGAAAGCAUGCUGACGCUUAGUAAUCCCCAGUUGUUGCGUUUGCACUCUUCAGGAGUUUCUUUGUUGUGCAGUUAUUUAAUGUUAUUUAGGUUUACCCACUGACAUCCAGUCAUUUCUGGUACUUUUCAGGAGUUUCAUUCUCAUAAAUCUCUCCACUGUUUCAUCCACAGGAAUAUUGCUUUGCUGGUUUUUGUGAGAUGUUUACGAUUUCAGACUGACAUCCUGUAAUUCCUUGUUUAUGGGGUUGCAUUUGCAUUUCUCAGUUCCACUUCUGUAAAUGUCCAUUCUUGUUUGAUAUAAGUUUCAUCCGUAAUCAGUUCUGAUUUGUUGUGCAGUUAUUUUGAGAUUGUUUUGAUCACUCACUAACAUCCAGUGACUUUGGUUAAUGCACUCUUCAGGAGUUUCAGUUUGGUAACUUUCUCUACUUUUUUAAUGUUUCGUCCACAGGUUUGUGACGGUUCUUACACUCCAACAUCUUGCUCUGCUUAUUUUUGUGAUACAAUCUCCCGCUGACAUUUAAGAUAUUUACGAUUGUUCACUGACAUCUAGUGUUUCCUGGUUAAUGCAAUGGCAUUUGCACUUUUCAGGAGUUCCACUCCACUAUAUUUCUGCUUUUUCGAUAUAAGUUACAUCUGCACUUUUUGAUUAUUCUUACCUAGGGCUGAGUGAUAAAACGAUAAAGAUAUAUAUCAAAAAUUAAUUUCCCUCAAUAUCAACAUAAAACGUGGUCAAUAUACUUUUAAAUAGUCGGCAUUCUGCCAUGUUUUGGUAGACCGUAUGAACAGCCAAUGAAAAGGGGAGUUGCUUCGGGUCUGCUUUGCGCCGAGCCAAUCAAUCAUCUUAGAACCAAGUAGCAAACAACCGUGUAGUAGCCGGCUGCAGCUACACGCAACCAUCACACUUUAACACGUAAAGCCGACAGCACUGUUGGUGAGAAAAAAAGAAAUGCAGACGAAGGCUCAACAGAUGACGACAUUGUCGACAACACUGGCAUGAAAACGUCGGUGGUGUGGAGGUGUUUUGGUUUUUCGAGGUCGGACAUGAAGCAGAGUAAUGUGGACUGCAAAUUAUGUCGAGUACAUGUUCUCGCAAAGUCGGGGAAUACCUCAAAUCCUUUUCACUGCCUGAAACAGUGCCACGCGGCAGAGCACGCGCAAUGAAAAAGGUUACAAACCCCGAGCGUUGCAAGGAGCCCAUUGCGCCUGUGCAGCCGAUAUGCCGCUUCCUCUUGCGCAACGCCUCACGACAAAAACGUUGAGAAACAAAGACCUCACAGAUGCAGUAGCUUGUUGUGUUACAAAGAUGUGCUACCAAUAAACACUGUUAAAUUUCAUUUUUUAUAUCAUUAUAUAUAUUGAUAUCGACUGAUACGAAAAAACUAUAUUGUGAUAAAUUUUCCAAUAUCGCCCAGCCCUAUUCUUACCCUUUUAAAUAUUGAUUUGCUGAUAUUUGUGAUGCAGUUACAAGCUGACAUUAGGGGUAUUUUUGACCUCCAGUGAUUCCUUGAUAAUGUUAAAAACGAUACACACAGAGCUUUAGAAAUCCAUCAUGUUAUUAAUAUACAUGAGAUUACCCGAGCGUAAAAGCAUCUCAUUUUUUGACGUCCUCUGCAUCUUUGUUUACUGUAAUAAUAAACAACAUAGGUCUGCUAAGUCAUCACUUUGAGCCUCAUGAACUUGCCAUCAUGAGCGCCCAUAUUUAUGGUCACAUAAUGGACGUCCUGUAGCCGCAGAAGAACGAGACAUCAUCAAAUGCUCAUUUGUUGCUCCCGCGCUUACGCUACAUUACACAAGCGUGCACGCGUGCGCUGAUUUAUUCACGCACGCAUUGACCGCCGCUUGUCCACAUGUUGCCACCGUUUAGACCGUCCCGCGUUCAUUUCCGCGCGCACUCAUGUAAGGAAGAUGUAAACAAUAAAUGAGGCGGCUGGGGGGAAAUCGAUGGCGAGGGUGUACGAGGCGCGUUAAUGAAAUCUCUGCUGCUCAUUAAAAUCACCUUAGGGUUGACAUUGUGGCUGCUACCGCUCAGAUUCCUUAUGGAGGUCAUUAUCUUGAUUAUUUGCAUUUUAUUCCCUCAUUACUGUAUUAAAAUGAAAUAAAUACAUGCAAAAUGUAUAAAAUCUAUGCCUGUACUAUAAGAUUAUAUGAAUGUUUAAACAGCUUAAUUUGCAGCGGCUUUAUGUGACUGUGUGUGAGUAUAAUAGUGUGUGUCCUCAGGCCCUCAAAGUCCUUCUACAGUUUUUUAGUGUGUAUUAAAGCUCUGCGUCUGAUGGCUCUAUUGGAGACUCUGUGUGUGUGUGUGUGUGUGUGUAUACAUGCCCGUGCGUGUGAAUACACCCAUGUGAACAAGUGAUUUAUGGGCUGUUUUUAAUCAGGCGCUAGAAAAUGUUAUUAGACAGCCUUCUCGCGCUCCCUCCGCCUGCAAAUGAGCCGGCCCCGCUGCACCCUGGGAUAGCCUCCUGUAAUUAGUUCUGGGAACUCACCUGUUACUGAGUCGAGGCUGAGGGAGAGGGAGGGAAGAAGGGUAUCAAGCAGGCAGAUAAACAAACAGAGAGGGGGAGAGACUGAGGAGAAGGUGAGCGAGGUUGAGGGUGAAGAAAAGGACCAAGAGGAUGAGAAAGACGGGGGCGCGCUGUUAUGAAAAGACAGAGGAAGAAGCUGACCUCAAGACAACAACACCUCCUGGUUUUUCAGCCCGCUAACAAGCUAGCCAGAGUCUGGCAGCAUAAAUUAGUAUUGAGUGAUGCUGGGAAAAAACACUCUGCACAAUCCGAAAACAACAGGGCUGGAUGUGUUGUGUGGAAAUCUUCUCUCAGGUGUAAAAAAUCUGAGUUACAAACCCACAGCAGCAACUUUACUUUUGUUUUAUAAUCGGAAAAGAAGCGAAAAACAACGGCUAUUAUUCGGACAAAGCGUUCAAAAGAUAAGAAGUGUAAAACAGCUGUUUUUGUCCAUGUACGACUUCUUAAAGGGACCGUGCAUCGGUUACCCUUUAAAGCUUUGAUGAAACGUUAAUCUAGUUGUUUAUUUUUAGCCGUAGCUUCAACUUUUAGCCUUGUAGACGGCUUUAAUCGGAGGAGACCAAAAACAGAGUUAAUACUGUCCAAACAGGCAGACACAAACACCUCUUUCUGAACUCUCCUGCUCCUCUGAGUUUGCCGAAUUUGUUUCAUCAAUAUUGCACCCGCUGUUCUACUUUCCAAAAAAACAUAUUUUUCUAGUCUUGAACUCGGCAUGACUCCCUGCCAAACUAAUCAUGUGACCCGCCUGCUCUUGGGCGCAUCGCUGAGCCCUGAUGAACCAUCUGCAGCUGCCCGGCCACAGGCUCCAGCUUGACAGCCAAUCAAAACAUUGCCUCGUCACUCCUAGCACGGCACAGACACACGACUAGGUACAUGCACCUACAUAUACAGAGAAGUGAAGCUGUCAGCAGGAUUGCAUACAUGUAAUUUAAAUCUGCGCAAACGCACACACACACACAAACACACACACAUGCGGCGCAUCUCCCCACUGCUCCUGACAGGCCAGUAAAAACAUAAUGAAAUAUUCAGGAAGGCUCACAGUGGUUUGGAUUCUACCUGUCUCAGCUUUUCUUGUUAGUUUGUGUGUGUUUGUUUGUACCAAAGAGGAGGAGAAAGUAUGUGUGCGCACGCUGGCAUCGCUUCUGUUCAGACGUUUCUACCUUAUGGAUAUAUUCGGUGUAGACAUGCCUUCGUGUGUGUGCGCCAGUGAAGAGAGCGAGUGCCUGUGUUUGAUUUCUGUGUCUGUGUUUGUACAUAUUUGUGCUAUCUCUCAAUUCUUGCUGUCACGGCUGUGUUUAAUUGGGUGUGAGCCAGUCAAACCUUUUGUUUGUGUGUUGCCUCGUGCUUACAUCAACUAUGUUGCUCUCCUUCGUAACAAACACCGCCAAGCCGAAACAAACUUGGAGCCAGACUUCCUUGUUUUUUGAGUCCAAAGCGAAUAACAAGCACACUUAUUUUGCUUCACUCCUAUCAAAAGCUAAGCUCGGAUACUGGUGACCUUUUUUCAGAGCUGAUAUGCUGCCGGCUUUUUAUGCCGCUGAAAGGUCUUCUUUUACACUCUCGCAUGAGAGUUUGCAUGAAGUGUGAACAAAUCCAGAAAUAAAACAUGUACAAAAAGCCUUCAUUGCCUCGUAAAUAUUCCUCUUUAAGUGUAAAGGCAUGAAAUUACGGUGAUUAAAUGAUCAUUUUGAGAUGAAGGGUUAUUUCUGGGCAUAUUGACCUCAUGCUGAUUUUUUGGAAAAGCACAUUUUGUUGCAUUUACAGCCAUAAAUUUGCAAACAAAUUGACAGUUUUAUGUAGUACUAAUAUCAAAAUAAACAUUGCCCUGCUUUACAAGCAUUUGGCGUCCCACAGGGCUCCGUUCUCGGUCCCUUUUUUGUUGUUUUCAUCUACAUUUACACCUUCGCCUUCAAACAUAGUCACUUUAUCCAUCAAAAGUCGGCACCUUGACAGUGUCACCAUAAAAGAUACAGAUACCAACAUCACCUUGGAGCCAAGAACUGGAGAAUUUUUCUUGAUUGUACUCCUGCGAGGUUGAAGUAGUCGUAUCUAGUUUUGCUUCUUUUUUCAUUUUGAAAAUGACACCUCGUACCCCUGAGCUGUCUGAGGAGAUAUUUUUUUUGGCACAGCCGUAGCCUCAUGAUUACUCCCUCACUGUUCAGUUUCCUCCCACUUAACUCAAAACUUUUUUUUUUUUUUUUUUCUAUCUGACUCAGACAGUUGCCACUGGGGAGUCUGCCUGAUGAUUAACAGAGCGUAUCACCAUUGUAGCGUCUCUGCAAUGAUGAGGGAGCCACUUCACUGCAGCCAGAAGAAUAAGCUUCUUGUCAAACGAUUAUUGUGAAAAACCUUCGUAGAGUAGAAGAAGGGACAUUAGUUUAUCAUAUUUAAGGAAAGAUUUAACAUGUAAGUUAGAAUUUUACUUCUGCUUCAUUGAACAAAAUGCAAGAAAAAGCAAAUGACACAAAGAAAGACACUUCACACUUCUUAUUUAGAGGGGAGAACUGUGCAAGAGGGAGGAGCUGCAGGAGGGAGAUGUGUGUGUUAGUAAAGUAGAGGAACAGAUUGAGCAUGAGGAGAAGGAGGCUGUUGCAAUCAUUAUUGAUUACUGCAGUGUUUUGCCAGCAGUGAGUAAUGUCAGACUGCUUCAAAAAGAUAAAAACCCAGUUGGAUGGAUCUGCAUCCUCUGCAAAAUACUCUCCUAUGCUCAGAGUUAGAUAACGACAAUCAUUAGUGAUGCAUUUUUGAGAAUUUUUGAGUCUAAAGCCAGGGCCCCCAUCUCGCUCAUUUAGCCUUGAAUAAAAGUUGGAAGUGAGAAGAAACAGCCUGUCUGGCUCUGGGUAGAGGUGACAAAAUCUGCCCACUGGCACUUCCAAAGCUUAUGUUAAUAUCUCCUUUGUAAAACCUCCACAAAGUGUGUUAAAACGUCACUAUCUAGUUCAGCAGGAGAACGACAUGCCAGACUGUUUUUGAACUGGGACCAGUCGCUUCCUGGAACUCAUCUGGUUGUCUGGCUGCUUCUCCUUGCCAAGAAAUAUCCUGGCAAACGACCUUUUCUAGUAAAAUAAUAAUCAUAAUAAUGAGAAGUUUGGAGAUGAAUCUACUUCAGAGUGAGAACGGCACCUGAGUUUCUUUUCCUGAGACAUUUGGUGCGGUGUUUACAACCCAACCACCAUGACGGUAUGUCAUGGUUGGAUGGAAAUGAUUGAUGUAGCUUGAAACCUUUGGGGGAUGCAGAGAUUUUUCACUUAGUCAAACAGGAAUAUUGACGUGCCUUUUUUUCUGUCUGUGCCCGUUAACAGCCUCGUUACAUUUCAUCCAACAAUCAGAUCACUGGGCAGAUAUAGAAAGCCGUACACUGGCAGUAUGUAAACAUAUGACAUGCUGAUAGGAGGUUAUAUUCAGUGUGUCCCUGUGUCUUUAAAAGGAUCACGGAGCGUCCCAGGAGAUCUCAUUGAAGGGAGCGUGUAUGGUUAAAAAAGCAAACCAUGGCAGCCGCCCAACUCCUGCUGUGCUUUGAAAACCAGUCCCUAUUCACCGAGACGCACCAGCCAACAAAGGUGGAGGAAAAAAAAAACACACCCUCAAAGGAUUCACUUUGCAGAGCACUCAGCACAAAUAAACAACGACGAUUGCUGAUUUUCACAAACACUCCAGCCGAGCUGUCUCCCAAAGUAUAAUUACAGUGUGAAGAAAAAUAUCAAUCCAUAUAAACGUCUUUAUCUAUGAAGUUAGCUGUAGCUUUUGUUCCAAGUUAACACUGACCUUAUGAGACGCUUUCCAGACGUCUCCGUCGAGAGGAUGGAGCCAAAACACUUCAAAUGAAGAGUAGACGUUUUCAAGUGUGUUAUCUUUCUCUGGACAUUAGCGGGGAAAAAAGUGCAUUUAUCCAACUCAGGUGAGACAGUUUACAGCAUGAAAGACGAGUUGACACUUACAGGGAUGUGCUUAUUUAGUUUCCUUUCAGAGUUGGCGAGGGGAUCUGUGCUGCUUUCAUCCACGUCUGCACAGUGAAGAUGAAAGCCGCCCGCUACUCCUACACUCGAGCUUUUGUGCGUAUCAAUAAAAAAGUACCAUAUUAAUCAAUUUGUCGCUGGUUGGCAGAUUGUAGAGAGUGGUAAUAGGUGAUAAGGUAAUGACGAGGUUGUAUAAUUGGCUUCCUCUUUCUUUAAAAUGCAAAGAAAUCUGGUGUAAGAGACUUUAAAAAGCUGGUCCAGGUGUGUGUUAGUAAAGCAGAGGGACAAAGAGAGCAUGAGUGUACUUCAUCGUCUUUUUAAACUCCCACUUUCUGAUCCCCCUCUCGUUUUAAUUUCAGCCGUUUAAUUGCUUUGGCCCCUAAUGAGUUUUGUUCCUUACAUACAGCUUAUUUCUCUGCUUGUUGGCGUUUAGCUGUAGGGGAAGCAGCGGGGGGUCCUCGCCACGCGCCGUCGUCACGUGAAAAUCAUGAAAAGCCCGUGUGACGUAUAUGUUUUUGCUUCAGUUCCGGGGAUUACGUGGGCCCCUGUAGACCGAGAAAACAUCUGAAACCUUUUCAAAACCUGGUCCCCUUUUAUAAACAGCCAAACAACAACAACAAAAAAACCUUUCCUCCAUUAAAGGGACGGAUUUAAAUUCCUUAAAAGUUGCCAUUUUUGAAUACGCCGUGUUUAUCAGUGUUACCUUUUGCUAAUGCUCACCUGGAGCAAACCGCUGGGUAACAGUGCCAGGGUGGAGGAGCAACACAUCCAUGUAAUGGGAUUACACUGAUCUGCUGUAAAAAUGGUAACUCUGAUCAUCUUUGCCUCGGAAGAAAAUAGCUCAGAAAUCACAUAAGAAGUUGACAAAAAUAAUAACAGUGGGAUUAGAGAUGGUGAAGAAGCGGUUGGAAAUUUCUGACAAAGAAGGAAGUGAAACUUUUGGCAGGUUUGGAUGAUAAAAAGGAGCAGGUGUCGAGCUUUAAACCGAAACUAAAUCUGGUCUUGUGUAUGUUAAAACCGAAUUUGUAGUCCUGUUCCAUCCCUCUGCAUCCAGCACGACAGAUUGAUCACAACCCCAGGUCUGCACCGACUUCACCGUCCAUUAGUGCUCACGAUGCAACGUCCGCGACCCCACCCCCUCCCCUCCUCAAAGACAGAGUGAUGGCCGAACACGGUCCCGAACACAUGUCGAGAAGCGUUCAUUAGUCCCGCCGUUCUGAGAGGUUCAUAAAUCACCGCCAUCUGGAACUCUCAGUGCUGCAAAAGUCCACGCUCGGUGAACAACUCCUCUAUCCACCCCCCCCCCUUCAUGUGCCGGUGGCAAACGGCCAAUCAGAUAGCAGAUCCCACUGUGGUGCGUCAUUGCUGAGCCCAACACAGCCGACAGCUUUUAUAAUAAGUUUUACUCUUGACAGAUAGCACAGCUAGACUUGGAUGUUAUAGUGUCCUGCAGACCCCUAUAGAAACUGAAGGUUGUAAUAACACACUUAUACACUUUAUUUACUGAACUCUUUAUAUACAAAAUAAGAACUUUAUAUUUAUAUCACCCCCAGCUCCUAAAAGAUUGGGAUUCUGUGCAAAAUGAAAAAAACAGCAACACAGAUUUUUAAGUUUUGGAAGUUAUUAAAACUUUACAUUUAAUUUAAAAUGGUGUUUCUAAGUCAACAAAGGCUAAUGUAACAUUAGCUACAGGUAAACUAUAGUGGGGUGGAGUUAAAGGGAUAUUCCGGCGUAAAAUUAAGUUAUGGUUAAACACACUGUAACACCGAGUUAGACACCCCUUCGAGAGAUGAAUGUUGCCGACUGCUUGCUUCUCUAGUUAUACCAACUUCGGGGUGCCGCAGCUCAAGGAAGUACAUUUAUGAUUAUUACUUUAUCAUUUCCUUGAAGUAAUAAUCAUCAUAUUUAUCAUUUUCACUGCAGAUGAAGUAGUUCUUCUGCCUUAGCGUCUCGGUCUGAUUGCAUUUCCUUGAAGAAAUGAUCAUAAAUGUUCUUCCUUGAGCUGCGACACCCCGCAGUAGUCCGUAAUGGACUGGCCUGAGGCCUUGCUUUAAACAAGCGGCUGCUGGGAGAGAGUAGGUGAGUUGUGUUUAGUCUCUUUUCUAAAGAAAUGAGUCAAAGUUAAAAAGAUGUUUGGUGGCUAGUACUAUGGCUGUGACCCUAUAUGUCCUGUUGAUGAAGUUAGGUGCUGUUCUGAGCAUUAUUUGUGGCUAUAGAGUGGCGUUUUGGUUGAGGUUUGUUUAUGGCUCCUCAGACCGCUGUGUAUUGCUAUUGUGUGGUCGUUACUAAAGUUGGUAUAACUAGAGAAGCAAGCGGUCG